AAACUAAUUAGCAUCCAAUAAUGACUAAUGCAAUCUGAUUUUUUUUUUUUUUUUUUUGAUUUUAUAUACUAGUUUAAUGUCAGUUGCUAAUUUGCUACGAUAAAGCCUGGUCUGAUAAAGUGAUUAUGAAUUCCAAUCACCAAAAUUUAUCAAAAUCAAAAUAAAAAAAUCAGUGUCGCUUUAUUUAAUAAUGGAUAUAGUUAGGUUUGCCGCAUUGCGGAUUACAUAUUGGUGAUAAUAUUUACAAACUGGCUCCAAAUCAAAAACAAAAUUAAAGUUGCAUGGUUACGUGUUAGCAAUUUGUGAAGACAAUAAAUUAAAUCAAUUAGGUUAUUUUACGUCUUAAUUACGUUACACCAAUGUCUCGAUCAUAUAGUUCCAAUUGUUGCCCAAAACUCUUUUGAAAUAUGCAUAUAUAUGUUUAUUUCUCACACACACAUAUUGUAUAUAUAUAUAUAUAUAUAUAUAUAUAUUUAUAUGUUCAGUUGCAUAGUUUUACACAUCAUAAUCUAUGCAGGCUCAGUUAUUUUACUAAUUUGAUAAUAAAGCUGAAACUUAGAAAAACUUACUAUUUUUCAUGUUUCGUGUUUGAAGAACUUUUGUUUCUAUUUUUUCUAUUAUUAAUUUAUAAUGUUAUUCCACUAUUUUAUGAUGUAUCAAUAAUAAUCGAAUUAAUUGUCGUUUCCUACUUAUCAUUAUACCAUUGUAUUAUUAUGCACAACUUAAUAAAUUGCAAGAUUCGUCACCGCUAGAGUCUUAACUUGUUGGAGAAAUUACUUUCUUCGUCAAAGAAACAGUUUGAUACUUAUAACUUCAAAUCUAAUUGAAGAUUACUUUUUGUUUUUCAUUUUUAUUACGACAAAUCCUUUUUAAACCUACUCUUUGAAAAAUAUAACGAAGGUAGAUGAUGUUAUUAUUGUACACGGCAUGUGACUUUUAUAGAGACAUUAUUAUUUAUAGUUAGAGCAGGUGAGGUGAGGAUCGAUGAAGACAUAACUACUGUCAAUUAUUGUCAUUGGUCGCUUUUCACAAACCCAACAUAUUCUCAAAUCUCAAUACAUAGAUGCAUUAACUUAAUAAAAUUAAUUAAAGUAAUGACCAAAAUUUAAAUGUAUUAUUGAUUAUCUACUAUAAAAUAAUAACAUAUUAUUACAAAAUAGUCUUAAUAUAUCAAAUACAAAGAUGCAUGCAUGCCCCCAUUAUGUAACCCUGUUCAUAAUCAUAAUUAAAUAAAAUACUCUGUUAUGAGGUAAUAGUAACUAAAGCCUAUUUUCAAUGUUUACCUAACAAAUAAGGUCAGAUUUUUUUUUUGUUUGUUCAUUUAAUCAAUAGUCUUAUUUAGUACAUAUGCAUAUAUCAUUUUGUUUGAUGAAUUAUAUAUAUACACAUGUUAUAUAACACAAACCUGCCACGAAUAAAAAAGAAUGACAACCACUCAAUACAUUUAUACGUUAGUUUCAAAUAAUGCAAUGAUGAUAACUAAAAAUAAUUAAAGAUGUAUAAAAUAAUAGUCCCUAAAUUAUACUAAGUAUAGUACUAACAACUUCAAUAACACUAGUAGUGGUGUCACUAGAUGACCAUGUUCUCUAAGCAGUGGUUGCUCAGUCGAUGUAUAGAAUUUCUCCAGGCCUUUUUUUUUAAAGUAUAUAUUAGGAUUUUUUUUUAUUAGAAGUUUUUUGCUAAUAUAUAAUGUAUAUAUUUUUAGUUUUAUCCAAAACGAAUCUCUUUUUCAUAUAUAAAUAAUUAAUUGCUUAUCUUCAGAAACGUCACGAUAAAAUAUACUACAUAAUAAUAAUUAAUUAUAUUAUGAAAUCAAUAAGGCAUGCAUGAUUAGAUGUUCAAUUUUUUAUAUUUUUUUUCUUUUGUUAAAUGCGAAUAAUUUUUGAUACUGAUGGAUAAUCUAAUUAACAACACCAAUGCAAAAAAAUUUGAAAUUCCAGAAAAUCUGAUAUUCUUUUUCAAAUUCGGAAUAUAUAGUUUAAGAUAAGCCUCAAAAUAUGGAAUGUACUCCGUUCGGAAAAAUGAGAUUGAAAUUAAAGUAAGAAUGAAAGAACAUAUGUAUAUAUGGUCCACUUAUUUUGUUAUUAUCUUAUCAUAUAUGUUAAAGAUCAUAGAAGCGAUGAUUAUGGAUAACUUGGAAUCUAAGCAACUUGAUCAACCUUUGCCCCAACAUUGGCCCUGCUUGGUUAAGGCGGUAGUUUUGGUUUUUUUCUGUCAAUUUUGAGUUGUAAAAUUUUUGGUUGUGCCUUUCAAAGUUUCAUUGCUGUAAUAUUUUUAUUGUAAAAAAAAUUUCUACCGCAAAAAAAAAUGAAUAAAAAAAAUAUUUUGACUGUGAGAAAAAAAGAAAAUUCAUUGGAUCUAUUUAUAUUUAAAUUUUUUUUUUUUACUUUGUAAAGUUUCUAAAGUACUUGCCUGUCAAGGCAUUUAUUAUUAGUUGAUUGGGAUAUUAGUUGAUUGUCCCAAAGUUUUACAAUACAUAAACAACUCAUCCAACACUCUAAUUUUUGCACCAUAAAUAAUUUCGCAAUUAAGUGCCUCCGAAAAUUCAAAAAUAUAAAUAAUAAAAUGUAAAGGAUUAAAGAAAAAAAAGAACUUUUCAUACUCGACUUUUUUUUUACUUUAUCGAUGGAAAUAUCACAAUAUAACUAAUGGCGAUAAUGACGAAAAAGAUUGUGGUUUGAUAUGGACCUGCGACUUUAGUGUCGCCAUUGGUUAGGUGUUCAAAUUGACAAUGUCUUUCAACGUUUCUAUGAUUGUUAAUACAGAUAGUGAUAUCAAAAUUGGCCAUGACAAAAAAAAAAUCAACAUAUUUGAAAACAGAUACAAAGCAAUCUGAUUUUAUCUUUUAGAUUUUAUCUUUUAGAAAAAAGUGGGAUGAGAUUGUAUCUACUUUGUUCUUUUCUUUAUUGCCAAGCAAAAUUGCAUCAAUUAAAUGACAAACAAAAUAGUAAAACGAAAAAACAAUUUGACAUAUUUCUCAACAAAUGAACUAGUGGAUUCCACUAACACUUUUCUACAGAUACCUCCCCCUCUGUUUUACAGAAUGAAUUACAAUCUCUAAAGUUUCAACUGGAGAGAUUUGUUCAUAUGAUGUUCUUUAGACCGCAACACUGAGCUGAGUAAACAGAGACAAAUCAGCAAUCAAUGCUAGUAUUUCCCGAUAUAGAUAGAUGAUCAUCGUUGUUUAAUGAAACCGAGAAUCUUUGAAACUUACAAUUUGGGAGUUUUCCAUCAGAAGAAAUGGGUUGCCAUCAAAAUCUGAGGUUUCUUCUUUUCUUCUUCAACUUGAAUUACAGCUUCUGUUUUGAUUUCUUCAAUCUUUUUAUCCCAAAUCUCAUCCACCAGUUUCCAUGUGUCAUCGCUGAUGAUUUGGGUCUGCAUUAAACAUAACACAAGAGGAAAUGUUUGUAAUGGUUUAUGUUGUUAUGAUCUAUGAGUUGACUUGUUUAGUAACAUACCUCCAUUGGACGAGGUGCUCCAAAUGUCGCAAAACCGAUGUUUCCUGGUGAAAAUGUUACUCUUCCAGGAAGCGAUACACCGUGAAUUCCCCAUCUUCCAGCAUAGAGUAAGGCUCCAUAUUCAUCCACAGGUCUUACAGGUUUCUGUUUUAAGGAAUUAGAGGAUCUGAACAAAACCAAAAACAAGAAAAAAAAAAACAAAACAGAGUGAGUGUAGGGUACAAAUAACUAACCUGAGGAAUCCUUGGAGCUGUGUUGUAAAUGUUCCAAAUUUCAUCGGCUUUGAUUUCUCCCUUUUCAAGAAGCACAUCUGAAAAUAUUAUUACAAUUUUUAAGAUGUUGCUGUGUAUGAUGACGUCUGUAAUUGUAAUGACGAAACAGAGAGGAUACUAUUUUCUGAACCUGUGAUUUCUUCAAGUGCUGAUUGAUACUCUUGUAAGAUUGAUGAGCAUUUCUCAACAGCAAACCGCAUGUAUUCAUCACGUAAUGCCUCAAGUUUCGGAACAAGCUGCAUGAAGGAGAAUCGGAAUUGGUGGUUCUGAGAAUCUCAAGGACUAAUUAAAAAAUGCAGGAUGUAGAAAAAAACAAUUACAUUUGGAACGAGGUCUCUUUGGUUCCGGUAAUAAGCUUUUCCAAAGGCAGUCAUUCCCGUCUGAAGAAUCAGAAACUCCGCUCGCUGUGAAGCUUCUAAAGUAGACUUCGCAGAGAUCCAACACAAGUUUUCUAUUCCAAACAUCUCUUCUUCAACUACUCUGGCUGUAUACAAACAAGGGAAUGAAGUAAGUGACAGAAAUUUUUGUGAACUAUAAUGGAACGUCAAAGCAAUUUCUUCACUUAUUUUUGGCUUUAUAACUUACGAGCACAUGCACGGAUUAUUGUGUUCACAUAAUCUGACUUUCUUGCAAAAACUCUCCCUGAAGUUUCAGCGUAACGCAUAUUUGGUUGGCUUCGGAUUGAGUUUAUGUCAGUCUGCAGAGAUAAGCACAUGGUAAAAUGGUCUUAGUCAUGCUAGAAUCCAAAACACAUGAAAGAAACUGAAAUCAAGUUUCUUGACCAACCUCGCUAAUUGGACGGUACUGAUCAGGGAGAUGACAAGCAAGAACAGCAACAGCUGCUUCUCUGUAAGCCAAUCUCAACUUCAGUUCCUCUGGAACUUCAGUACUAUCUUCUUGUCCAGUCUCAAAUGUUCCUUUUUGCUGUAAUGAGUGGAAUCAGCAUUUGCUAAAGCAGCACCUAAGCAUUGAUAAAUCGGGAAUUAAACACUAAUUACCCUCUUAAGCGCCUCUAGGAGUUCCUCUCUUCCAAUGUAAUCUAAAUCUUUUCUAGCAGUCAAGAUUCCAGCUUCAUUUCUGUAAACAAUUAACCAAACAUCAGUGUUCUCCGUUUCUACCUCUGCAAUAUUUUACAAAGAAAGUUAAAAGUUCUAGCAUAAUUUAUUACAGAACGUUCUGCAGUUCUGCUCCAGUAAAAUCUUCUGUGUUCUCAGCUACUUCUUGCAGCAACUCCUCCUUCUCAUCUUCAGACCGGAAGAAUUUAUUUCUAGCAUGGACCUUUCAUAAACGAAAGCCUUUAGCUAAAGAACAAAGCAAUCCAAAACUCUUUGAUUCAGAAAGCGAAACUAAGUACCUUUAAUAUGGCCAAUCGACCAUCUUUCGAAGGUAAACCAACCCUUAUGAUUUUGUCGAAGCGCCCUUUUCUUAAGAGAGCAGGAUCAAGGAUAUCUAACCUAUUUGUUGCACCUAUGACUAAUACCUGACAAGAUCCAUGAUUAAUAGCACGAAAUGUUUACACGAAAAGAAACUGAAUAGCAAAUAAAAACAUUACUUGUGAUGUGGUAACUUUGAAUCCAUCCAUCUCAGUCAGUAUUUGAAGUAAACCUUGUUCUCUCUCUGCUCCUCCCUAUCCAAUUAGUAACACAUUUAAAAAGAAAGUUAAUUUUCUUAAACCAAGAUCCAAUUUCCAGAACAAAGAAAGCAUGCCAUUCUUACCCCACCAAUAUCGGGUCCACCUCGCUUACUUCCAAUUGCAUCAAUCUCAUCAAUAAAGAUUAUAGAUGGCGCAAAUGACCGAGAGCUAGCAAAAAGAUCUUUAACACGAGAAGCAGCCACUCCUACAAACAUCUGAGAGAUUUAAAGGGAAAAAAGGAUAACUCCAUAUCAAGACCUUAAGAAACCAGGAUACUUAGCACAUUCGUUCAUACUGACGUAUCAAUCACACACCUCAACAAAGUCAGUUCCAUUUGCAGCAAAGAAAGGCAAACCAGCUUCUCCGGCAAUAGCUUUAGCCAACAGAGUUUUCCCCGUUCCAGGAGGUCCAUGAAGAAGAACACCUUUCGGACAAUAAAUGCCUUUAUUCUGAAACUCCUCAUCAUUCUUUAAAAUCCGCACAAUUUCUUGUAGUUCCCUCUUUAUAUACUCCUGACCCGCAAAAUCAUCAAAUGUUACACCAGUUUUCUCUUCUGCUGAUAUAAAUUUUGCUCUGACAGAGAGAAUCAAACAGAAUCUUAGAUCCAAUACACUUGAGCAGAAACGGUCAAUACCGAAAGAAGUAGUAAUUUCUAAACAUACCGACUCUUGCCUAGGGAACCGAGUGCUUGGCGCUUGAGGGGCUGCCUUAUCUUUUUAGUAGGGGUUCCAAGAUCACAAGGGAUUAACUUGGCAUAGAUUGGCCUUGUGAUACUGUCAAUCCAAACAUAAAGCGAAACAAAGAGGGCAAGUCUCAUAGACCAAACCACAAAAGUGGCAACUGUAGUAUAGACUUCAGCUGGAACGACAUCUACAUUAAAAACCUCGACGUUGACUAAUUGCUGAUGCAACUUCUUCCAUACAUCAUUCCAACCAUCAAUUGGCAUUCGGUCCACAAUGUGGCGACGGAAAAUUAUCUCCUUGUUCGAGAUUUCUUCUUCUCCUUGAGGCUCCCCAUCUUUAUAAUAAGGCAAUAUCACUGCACCAACAACAAAACUUAAGUAAAAGAUUUCCCAACAAUUUGACACCAUAUUCUAGCUUUAAGAGGCAUGAUGCAAUGUAUCAAAGACAUAGUUCAUAUUGAUAUCAUCCCGGAAAGACACAUGGUAAUAAUAUUUGGCAGGCCAAUUGUAGAGACUAAUCACACUGAAACGCUGAAAACAGAACUAAGAGCAAUAGUAUCAUUGAAAGAGAAUCCUCGAAAAGGACCUAACUUUUUUCAGAAAAUGAACAGCAGUUGAGCAAAUAUAUGUCAUUGGCAUGUGUUACCAAAUAGAAAAAAAAACACUGCAAUUGUAAAAUUUCUGUAACUUUGAACCUGAUAUCGUCUGUCCGUAAUUAGAAUACUCCAUGUAUUGAACACUGUUGGAAUCUAACAGCUUCAUAAAAUCACUAAAAUUGAUCCGGUGAGAAGUUUCAGGAUCCCAUUCUGUUCCCUUUAACUUCCCACGCAUCGUUAACAAUGUUCUACUCCAAUCUGAAGCCAUCACAAGCUGCCUUUCUAAUUGUACAUUAGCCUUUCUCUCUAGCUCUUCCAUGUUGCUAAGUCGUUCUCUUUCAGCUUCUCUUAAUCUCUGCAAAAAAUCCAAUAAAAAAGGAAUCAAAGCUUUAAAAUCGCCAUUUUCCCAAUUACGCUACAACCAAAAAAUCACUCCACUGUCAAAUUAAUCUACUUGCAGCAUACAUUCUAAAGAUUCAAAGUCCUAAUUACGUAUUAGCUUUCAAAGUUCUUCACUUUCAAUUCGAGGAAAAAUAAAAAGUCGAACUUGACAGGUUUUUUAGAUUCCCCAAAAUAGAGUGUUUGAAAAAGAGAUAUAAACCUCAAAUAGACGAUUCGAAUCAGCAUCUUCUUCCUGGGAAACUGAAGACUCAAAGCUCGAUGUACAACAAGUAGUAAUCAAACCAUUUCUUCGUGAAGGAAAGAGGUUGAAUUUGGAGCUUAAUUUAGCUCCCGUAGGGUUUCUCCGACGGACGAAAGUAGACAGAGAGCCCCGGAAUUGAAUAGGGAAGAGGGUAUUAGAAGGGUUUAAGGGUUUCGAGAAAUGGGUUGGAGUUAACGAACUCGAUAAAUAAAACGUCAUUGCUCAAUCAUCAGGAUAGAGCUGGGGAAACUGUCCCUUGGAAUUCUAAGUGCAACAAAACGAUAACAAAAAAUCUUCUAGAGGUGAAAUUUGAAGCUGCUGGGUUCUUCACGAAGAUUGAAAGAGACGAUCGAAACGGUGCGUUUUCAUCAGUUUCUACGAGAUUGCCGUAACCGAACUUCACCGGUUCACUAUCAAGUACUCCGAAUCGGCUAUUCGAAAUGGUGCGUUUUAAGUGAUUAUCGGUUCCAACGCAACCGGACAUAACCGGUUCUCUAUAAAAUACUACUCUGUUCCAUUAUAUAAAAGUUUUUGGUUUGACCAAAAAAAAAAAAAGUUUUUGGUUAAAAACGUACUUGUAUAAAGUUAAUAGUAGGAUCUCAUAGAUGCAUGCAGAUUAAAUUCUCUUUGAAAACGCCGUAAAUAAUAAACCCAUUACAAAAGCAUCACAAACCGACCAAAGUAAUCGAGAAGAAUAAAAGAAGAUCGUAACCCUAAAUCGAGAGAGGAGGAAGAAAAAAAGAACAGCGAUCGACACAUCGAUCGGAGAAGAUGUCGUCUGGGAUUAUCUUUGAAGAUAGCGGCGAGUUUAUCGGUGGGCAGAUGGAGUAUUGGCGUGAAGUGGACGCAUGACUCUCCUGGGUGAGUAUGGGUUUUGCAUUGGAGAAGUAGCUGAGAAGCGUUAUAUAUCUCGCCCAAGCACUAUAAGUUUGUAUGAAGCAGGGAUCCUAUGACUGGUCAACCACUGCAUCUCGAUUUCGAAAAAGGACUCGGCUUAAUUCUUAGUUUUAAAAUGUAAAUGAUGGGAGACAUAUUCUUCUUAGCUUUCUUUAGAUCGCUUUAGUUGUCCUUUUAUACCGUUACAGCUUGCUAUUGAGAUAUUGAUAAUGGUUAUCCGGUUAUUGAGAUUGAUGAUUGGUUAUUUCCGGUUAUUAAGAUUGAGUAUUAGAAAGAUGUAUAAAUACAGAAUACAUGUAACUUUACUGAUUAAGCUUUGUAAUACACUUUUAUCCGUUAAUAAAGUUUGUUACAAUUGCUUCACUCUAUCUUCUUCUUCUUCUUCUCCGAUCUAUAUUCCGGUGUAUCAGAGUUCUUUAAUAUGGUAUCAGAGCUGAGCAAUCGCUUCUUCCGCUUCCUCUGAUAUCAUCGGAAUCGUUAUCGGAUUCAUAACGAUGCGUUGUAAUCUCGUUUCUUUACACAUUGUUCUAUCGUUGAUUUUGGAGCUCAUUAAUGGAGUUUUCUUUUGUUUCUUUCUUUUGAUUCUCUUCAUUUACCUUUGAUUGACCUUAGUGUUGGUGAAUUUUGUUUUCUUUCAAUUUCAAAUCGCCACACAUUUCUUCCAAAUUUCUUGAAUCUUUCUUCAACGAUGGGAACUUAUGCCCAAGCAGCAUCUUCAAGUCUUCCGCCGAAUCUGCCCAAUCCAGAUCAUCCGCCAGCUCCGGUGAAUCGACAACAAGAACCACCGCGUUUUCAGACGGAUCAAUAUGAAAAUCCUUAUUAUCUAAACAGUAAUGAUCAUGCUGGUCUUGUUUUGGUUUCUGAUAGGUUAACGACGGGUUCAGAUUUUCAUUCAUGGAGACGAUCAAUGUGGAUGGCUUUAAACGUACGAAAUAAAUUGGGUUUCAUUGACGGAACAAUGCCAAAACCACCUGAAGCACAUCGUGAUUACGGUACUUGGUCAAGAUGCAAUGAUAUUGUGAGUACUUGGUUGCUAAGUUCGGUGGAUAAAACGAUAGGGCAGAGUUUAUUGUAUAUCUCUACUGCUGAGGGAAUGUGGAAGAGUCUAAUGACUAGGUUUAAGCAAGAUGAUGCACCUAGGAUUUUUGAUAUUGAACAGCGUCUUAGUAAGAUUGAACAAGGAUCAAUGACUGUGUCUGAAUACUACACCAAGUUGAUUUCUCUAUGGGAAGAGUACAAGAACUAUGUGGACCUUCCAUUAUGCACUUGUGGUAGAUGUGAAUGUGAUGCGGCUGCAAAGUGGGAAAAGUUGCAACAACGCAGCCGUGUAACCAAAUUUCUAAUGGGAUUGAAUGAGAGUUUUGAUCAGACGCGUCGUCACAUUUUAAUGCUGAAGCCAAUUCCAACGAUAGAAGAGUCCUUUCAUCUUGUUACUCAGGAUGAGAGACAGGUCAACAUAAAACCUACUUCUCGGAUGGAUACUGUGGCUUUCCAAGCAGUGACUCCAGUAGCUUAUGAUGGAGAGAUUGCAUAUGCUGCUGCUUAUAAUACAGCGAGGACUAAUCAGAAACCUGUUUGUACACAUUGUGGAAAGCAAGGUCAUACCAUACAGAAAUGCUUUAAGCUGCAUGGUUAUCCACCAGGGUAUAAGACAAAUGGUUACAAUACAAAGGGUGGAACUCAGACUGUGAUUCAACCUCAGAAUGCACAAUCUCAGGGAGUUCUUCAGCCAAGAAUGCAGACUCAACAAUAUCAACCACGAAUGCAAUUGCAAAUGGUUCCUUAUGAUCCGAUCAAGCAUGCUAAUGCUGUUGCAAAUGUCUGUACUGAAUCGGCUUCAUAUCAACCUGGAUUUGGUUCUUAUCCACAGCCUGUUCCAUCUUAUAUGUCUCCUCCAUAUGUGCCUACACCAGCAGCUCCUCCUGCUACUAAUGAUGGUCUCAUUCAGCACAUUCAGGAUUAUUCACCACAGCAACUUCAACAACUUAUAUCACAAUUUAACACUCAAGUAUCAGUUCCAGAGCCUUUAACUACUUCUAAUACAGCAAAGGUCACUGAACAUGGCUUUAUGGCUCAGACAUCAACUUCUGGUACUAUUUCCUUUCCUUCAACUAGUCUUAAAUACGAGAAUAAUGAUCUCAUUUUUCAAACACAUACUCUCUCUUCUUUACAAAAAUUACUUCCACAUGAUGCUUGGAUUAUUGACAGUGGAGCUUCUAGCCAUGUGUGUUCUGAUCUAGCAAUGUUUAGGGAAUUAGUACAUGUUUCUAGUAUCACAGUGACUCUUCCGAAUGGUACUAGGGUUCCUAUUACACACACUGGCACAAUUUGCAUUUCACAAACAUUGAUAUUGCAUAAUGUACUUCAUGUCCCUGAUUUUAAAUUCAAUUUCAUUAGUGUUAGUUGUUUGGUUAAAUCUCUUUUCUGUUCUGCUCAUUUCUUUCCAACUUGUUGUCUUAUUCAGGAACUUUCUCAGGGCUUGAUGAUUGGGAGGGGUAGUCUUUACAACAAUCUAUAUAUUCUUGAUCAAGAGAAUAAAUCCCCUUCACCAUCACUUCCUGCAGUCUGUUCAGUUUCUUCUUCUGAUGUUUCUGAUGGAGUUUUAUGGCAUCAAAGAUUAGGACAUCCUUCUUCAAGUGUGCUAAGUAAAAUAGUUAGUAUUUCUUCUAUUAAGAAUCUAGUUUCUGAUGUAUCUCAAUGUUCUAUUUGUCCUCUUGCAAAACAAAAACGAUUAGCUUUCAUUUCUCGUAAUGUUUUAGCUUCUAAACCUUUUGAUUUAGUCCAUCUAGAUAUCUGGGGGCCUUUUAGUGUUCCAUCUAUAGAAGGAUACAAAUAUUUCUUUACUCUUGUAGAUGAUUGCACACGGGUUACUUGGGUGUAUAUGUUGAAAAAUAAAAGUGAUGUUUCUAUUGUUUUCCCUGCAUUUCUGAACUUGAUAUCUACUCAAUAUGAAUCAAAGAUAAAAGCUAUUAGGUCUGACAAUGCACAUGAAUUAGCAUUUACUGAUAUUGUUAAAGAACAAGGCAUGAUUCAUCAAUUUAGUUGUGCUUAUACACCUCAACAGAACUCAGUUGUAGAAAGGAAACAUCAACAUUUGUUAAAUGUAGCACGCUCUCUUUUAUUUCAAUCUAAUGUUCCAUUGCAAUAUUGGAGUGAUUGUGUAAUGACUGCUGUGUUUCUUAUAAACCGUUUACCUUCUCCAUUGCUGAAUCAUAAGUCACCUUUUGAGCUCUUGUGUAAUAAAACACCUGACUAUUCUCUUUUAAAAACGUUUGGCUGUCUCUGUUUUACAUCAACAUAUCUGCAUACUAGGAAUAAGUUUACUCCUAGAGCAAAGCCUUGUGUGUUUUUAGGUUAUCCAUCAGGUUACAAAGGUUAUAAAGUUUUGGAUUUAGAGUCUCAGUCUAUUAGUAUUUCUAGGAAUGUUAUUUUCUAUGAGCAUAAAUUUCCUUUUAAAGUUUCAGCUUUGUUGAAUAGGGCUGUAGAUAUGUUUCCAAAUACAAUAUUACCUAUGCCUGCUCCUUUACAUUUUGUUGAUUCUUUGUCUCUAUUUGAUGAUGAUGAUGAGGCUAUUGAUCAUACUAAUCAUACUGUUCCUUGCAUACCACCUGUUACACAAAUAGAACCUAGUACCAUUCCGAAUGAGCCUGCUGCAGAUAUACAAGUGACAGAUACUAAUUCUGUAUCCCUUGCUAGGCCAAAACGGACAACUAAAGCUCCAAGGUACUUAUCUGAAUAUCAAUGUAAUCUGGUUCCUUUUGUUUCAAAUACUAUAUCUACUUCUAAUAUCUCUUUGACACCAAAUACUACUCCUCUUUCUAAACCAGAAACUUUACAUUCAAUUUCUACUAAAUCUUUUCCUUUAAAGCCUUUCACUACUCCUUAUCCCAUUCAAUCCUUUGUUACUUUAGAUCAUUUUACACCACAAUACCAGUCCUAUAUCUUUUCUUAUAGUCUAGAGACAGAGCCAAAAACAUUUGCACAGGCCAUUAAAUCUGAAAAAUGGACUAAGGCUGCAAAUGAGGAGUUAAAUGCUCUUGAGCUGAACAAUACUUGGGUUGUUGAAUCAUUACCACCAGACAAGAAUGUUGUAGGUUGUAAAUGGGUGUUUACCAUUAAAUACAAUCCCGAUGGUACUGUAGAACGCUACAAAGCGCGGUUGGUCGCUCAAGGCUUUACACAACAGGAAGGCAUUGACUAUUUGGAUACUUUUUCUCCUGUAGCAAAGUUAACAAGUGUGAAGUAUAUACUUGCUUUAGCAGCUGCCAAAGGAUGGAGCUUAACACAAAUGGAUGUGUCAAAUGCCUUCUUACAUGGUGAAUUGGAUGAAGAAAUAUUCAUGAGCUUACCACAGGGCUAUACACCUCCACAGAAUGUCUCAUUACCUCCAAAUCCGGUUUGUCGACUUCUUAAAUCUCUCUAUGGUUUAAAGCAGGCAUCCCGUCAGUGGUACAAACGCCUUUCUUCAGUUUUGUUGGGUGCUAACUUUGUUCAGUCACCAGCAGACAAUACUCUGUUUACCAAGAUACAGAAUGGAUCAUUCAUUGCUGCAUUAGUAUAUGUUGAUGACAUAAUGAUCGCAAGUAAUGAUGAUAAUGCAGUGGAACAAUUGAAGGAGCUAUUGAGAUCAGAAUUCAAGAUAAAAGACCUUGGUCCAGCAAGAUUUUUCCUUGGCUUAGAGAUUUCAAGAUCAUCAAAAGGUAUCUCUCUGUGUCAAAGAAAAUAUGCUCAGAACUUGUUGGAGGAUGCAGGCUUCUUAGGCUGCAAACCAAGCUCUAUUCCAAUGGAUCCAAACCUUCAUCUUACUAAGGACAUGGGAACGCUCUUGGCUAAUCCUACUUCUUAUCGCGAACUGGUUGGAAGAUUGCUCUAUCUAACCAUCACGAGACCAGACAUAACUUUUGCAGUUCAUCAAUUGAGCCAAUUUAUCUCAGCACCAACUGAUAUUCAUCUUCAGGCUGCUCAUAAAGUCCUAAAAUACAUCAAAGCUAAUCCUGGACAGGGUUUGAUGUACUCUGUUGACUCUGCGAUAUGCUUAAAUGCAUUUUCUGAUGCAGAUUGGGGAAGAUGCAGUGAUACAAGGCGCUCCAUUACUGGUUUCUGUGUCUAUCUCGGAACUUCUUUGAUCUCAUGGAAGUCUAAAAAGCAAGGAGUCACAAGUAGAAGCAGUACUGAGUCUGAAUACAGAAGUAUGGCUCAAGCAACCUGUGAAGUUAUCUGGCUUCAACAAUUGAUGAGAGAUCUACAGGUGAAGCCUACUUGCACUGCAAAGUUGUUCUGUGAUAAUAAGUCUGCAUUAUACAUUGCGAUGAACCCAGUUUUUCAUGAAAGGACAAAACACAUAGAGAUAGAUUGUCAUACAGUUCGUGAUCAACUAAAGGCUGGUAAUCUCAAGGUUCUACAUGUUCCAACAGAUAAUCAACAUGCAGAUAUACUCACAAAACCACUACAUCCAGGUCCAUUUUAUCACUUACUCUCAAAGCUUUCACUUUCAAAUCUUUAUCUCCCUAACCAGACAGUUGGAGACUAAAGAUUUGAGGGGGGUAUAUUGAGAUAUUGAUAAUGGUUAUCCGGUUAUUGAGAUUGAUGAUUGGUUAUUUCUGGUUAUUAAGAUUGAGUAUUAGAAAGAUGUAUAAAUACAGAAUACAUGUAACUUUACUGAUUAAGCUUUGUAAUACACUUUUAUCCGUUAAUAAAGUUUGUUACAAUUGCUUCACUCUAUCUUCUUCUUCUUCUUCUCCGAUCUAUAUUCCGGUGUAUCAGAGUUCUUUAAUACUUGCACGCAAUUUGAAGAUCUUGCAGGGGUCAUCCAGGGAGAUCGUAGUCCUUUUUAUGUGCUUUUGUAGUUCUUGUUGGUCGAAUAGUAUUCUAGUUGACGUCAGAAGAUCAUAAAUUGUGAUUUAUAAGAUGCAAAAUGUGAUUUUCGGAACAAAGUGAUAUGACCUUUAUAGAUGAAAACUAUUAUCCCCUUGUCAUUUCCAAGUAGAGUCUACCAUAUAUAUAGUUUACCCAUUGCUGAUAAGCAUGCCAGCUCUGCUAAAUCCAUUAAGAAAUAUUAAGAAUAUUUGCUUAUAUAUUGUUUACUGUUGCGGAAAAAAAAACAGACAAGAAAUAACGAGUUAAAGCAACAUUAUUGGAGAGCUCGUAAGUUUUGUUCUUACCAAUUUUUUGUAUUAGAAUUUUAAGAGUUUCAAGUUUUUGCUCUUAAUUAAGAGACCAUCCCUAGCUUUUUGGCUCAUUUUUUCACUUUUCUUCUCUUAAUAUUAUCCUUAAAGUUUCUUAAAUCUCUUGUUUAAGCAAUUUUGAACGUAGCUUUUAGCUAUUUAAACAAUUCACAUCAUUUUUUGUUAAUAACUUUUCUCUCUCUAAAAUAAGAAAUUUGUCUUAACAACUCCUCAAUGGAUCGAAUUAAGUUGUUGUAACUGCUGGUUUCAGUCUUUGAGCGAUUAGUGAUUACACGUUCUUUUUUGUUUUGUUUUCAUCAGGUAUUAAUUAACGAAAAUCAAAACAUAUUUUUGCUUUAUGUUUAAAGCCAUUCCAGCGACGUAUUUCGACGUUAGAAUUCAGCGUUGGUGAUUAGAAGUUUUCAAAAGCUGUAAACUAUAACAUUUUAAUUGUCGGAUCGUCAAAACAUGUCGUCGAACACUCGAACUAACUAACUAGCAAUUACAAGACACAUGCAUGCAUGUCCUAAUUAUUAGACAUAUAAAAAAAAAAAAUCAUUUCUGUAAUUAUAAUUAUGUUAAGACAGAAAAAGGACAUAUUGCAGUUUAGUAAUCUUUAUCAUGUCCUUCACCUUAAUAUUUGGGCAAAAACACACAUAUACUGUAUGCAUGUGUGUACGAGUACGAAUCAUAAAAUCAGAAGAAAAAACAAAUCAGAUACAAAAACGCUGCGUUUUUAAACUUUUUCUCUUUCUCAAAAACGCAUUACCGGUUUUAUUGCAACCGGACAUCACCGGUUCAUUAUCAAAUACUAAAUGGGUAUGAAAAUACCGAACCUGUGACUUGAAACUUUGUGUCCGGUUUUUUAAAAAUGGUUCUCACCGUUGAUGCCAUAACCGGACAUUAUCAAAUUAUUCAACCAAACCGGGUUUGAACGAGCAAAAAAGCAUGAUGUCCGGAGGAGGAAAGAGACCGUUGUAGAUCUGUCUUCUUCAUCGGAGAUGGUGAAACACAGAAGUUCAUCUCGUUCGAUAGUCUCAUCUUUUUCUUCAGCUAGACUCUUCUCUACGAAAGCUAUUUCUCUCUACUUGAUCUUCAUAUUUGCUUUUACCAUCUGGGUUCUUGUCUUCAGCUCCAGAAACAUACAAACCGACGAUGACCAAACCCGACAGCAACACCAACAUCGGGAUCUAAUCGAUUCAGUAUCAUUUCCGCCCCCGUAUUUGCCUCCCAGGAAGGUAAAGUUCUUAGUGUUUCAUGGUUUUUAGAUUUGAAUGUAGAAAUGAAGUGUCUUGAUUUGGUUUUUGAUUGGAACAAUUGAGAAAGUAAAACUCUUUGAUGAACCUAUUUGAGCUUCAGAAUUUGCAGAAUUCGAAUGAAAAUACCCAACUUUGGACUCCUCCUUUCAGCUUUGGUUUGCAUCCAUGUGUCAAAGCUACUCAUAAAUACAAAGGUAAACAAAAAGAGCUCCAUUUCAAUCUCUGAUGGUUUUUGCACAUGAAUUGGGAAUUUUGAUUUGAUUUCAGAUUCCUUUCUCUGUGUUGUUAUUCUUAAACCCACACAAUUGUCGUUAUCUUUUGCAGAAUUUUCAGAAUCAGAUCAUUAUAUAACAGUGAGAAGUAAUGGUGGGCUAAAUCAAAUGCGCACUGGUGUAAGUAAUACUAAACCAGACACUAUUUAAGCUGAUGUUUUCAUGUUACAUGUUUUGUAGAGAUGUUUCUACCAAAUCCCAACUGAUUUGAGAAGCAUACCAUUGUACAGAUAGCAGAUAUAGUGGCUGUUGCCCACAUCAUGAAUGCAACUUUAGUCAUUCCUGAGCUGGACAAGCGUUCGUUUUGGCAAGAUUCAAGGUAUUUGGAACUUCAAACAAACAAAAAAAUGCAGUUUUUUUUGUUACUAGUUAUGAAUUGCUAACUUACACUUUACUAUGCCUCAGUGUUUUUUCAGAUAUUUUUGACGAGGAACACUUCAUCAAAUCCCUGAAGAGAGAUGUGAAGGUUAUUAAAAAGCUCCCAAAGGAAAUGGAGUCUCUUCCUAGAGCACGGAAGCAUUUCACUUCUUGGUCUAGUGUUGGAUAUUAUGAAGAAAUGACUCACUUGUGGAAGGAGUACAAGGUCUUAAGCAACUUAUAUAUUUGCCUCUACUGUUUCACUCAUCUACUCAUUACUCAUUUUGUAGCAUACCGAUGUUGUGAAUCACUGACAGAAAAACAACAAUGCAGGUCAUACAUGUCCCGAAAUCAGAUUCUCGUCUUGCAAAUAAUGACCUGCCUAUUGACAUUCAGAGAUUGAGAUGCCGUGUGCUGUAUCGUGGUCUCCGCUUCUCUCCUGCCAUUGAAAGCCUUGGACAGGUUUGGACCCUUUACUGUUAAUUGGUACUGCUCUUCUGUGUAAUCAUCCACACACAACAUAGAUAGGCUGUAGUAAAAUUUCAUCCUUUGCAUACACAGAAAAAAAUCAAGUUUAUGUUCUCUUUGGGUGCUGAAUAGCUAUUAUAGAAUUUCUGUAUCCAUCGUAUGGGUCAAUGACUUUCAUCAUCUUAUGAUUGAAAUAUCAAUAACAUAUAUGAUAUGUUUGAGGCCUUAUUUGGAGAAGCCUGAUAGAAGAAUGAACUCAAAUUUUUCUAUCAUACAUAAGUCUCAGUAGUUUAUGCAUUUAAGAGGUGUCCUAUGGGGCUUCCUGUAGACUUUGGGUUCUGAGCAAUCAUGACGGUGACACCACAGAAGCUGGUUGAGAGACUCAAGGCACGUGCUGGGAGAUAUAUUACAUUGCACCUGAGAUAUGAGAAAGACAUGUUGGCUUUCACUGGCUGUACCUAUGGUCUCACUGAUGCUGAAUCCGAAGAACUAAGAGUAAUGCGGUAAUUGAUUACUCUGCGCAUAUAAUCUUUACAAAGUAAACUUGAAAGAUCAAAAGUAUAAACUCAUCUAAACUAAAAGUUAUGGUUUUAAGCUCAAUAAUACCGGUUGAUCGCAGGGAAAGUACAAGCCAUUGGAAGAUCAAAAGUAUAAACUCAACAGAGCAGAGAGAAGAAGGCCUCUGUCCAUUGACUCCAAAAGAAGUGGGAAUAUUUCUGAAAGGUCUGGGAUAUUCUCAGUCAACAGUCAUUUAUAUUGCAGCAGGGGAAAUCUAUGGGGGUGAUGAUAGACUCUCUGAGCUUAAGUCGCGCUUCCCAAAUCUAGUUUUUAAGGUUUGUUCAACCACCUCUUAAAUAAUCCAUGUUAUUGGCAACCUAAAGAUGAUAUAAUGUUUUGUUUCAUGUACUGGGUUUUGUAGGAAACACUAGCUGAAAAAGGCGAGUUAAAAGGUUUCACAGGUCAUGCAACUAAAACGGCUGCUCUUGAUUAUAUAAUUUCAGUUGAGAGUGAUGUGUUUGUUCCUUCACAUUCUGGAAACAUGGCAAGAGCUGUUGAAGGUCACCGCAGAUUUCUAGGUCAUCGCAGGACUAUCACUCCAGACAGGUUCUAUAUCCUUCCUUUGUUGUCUUCUAACUUCGAAAAGUUUUCAUCAUUUUCAUCUUUUACUCAUUUUUAUAUCCCAUGACAACUUUUGUUGUGAUGCAGGAAAGGAUUAGUGAAACUCUUUAGUAAGAUGGAGAGAGGACAGUUAAAAGAAGGACGAAAGUUGUCCAAUCUUGUGAAGCAAAUGCAUCAAGACAGGUAAUAGAUAAUCUUAUCUUUGCUUAUACAAGUCAGAAUUGCAAUAAACCUAAAACAAAUCAUCUUUGAUGCGGAAAUACAUUAUUUCGCUCGGUUUUGCAGGCAAGGUGCACCGAGAAGAAGGAAAGGACCAACACAGGGGAUCAAAGGACGUGCCCGGUUUCGAACUGAAGAAGCCUUUUAUGAGAAUCCAUACCCAGAAUGUAUUUGCAGUUCAAAGGAGCACAGAGAACCCUAACUAUAUUUUCCAACUUUUGUUGGUUUCUUUAAAGACCAUGAACAAACGUUUUUUUUGUUGUUCUGUAUACACGCCCAUUUAUAUAGUCAUCGUAAUCAUAGUUAUCACAUUUCUCAGAUUUUCUUAUUUUCUACAACUUGGUUUCAUCCCAGACAGAAAUCCAGACUAAUCCUGACCAUGUAUCUAAACAAUUUACAAUAGCCAUGUUUUUUCGGCAUUCAAAGAUUUAAAAUAUCUUUCAGACUAUCGUCAGCUUUAAUGGAAACAAGAACGAAACAUCAUAGCUACUACUGAUCCAGACAAAAGAUUUCUACUGUUACACGAUCUACUGAACAAAAGGCAUGUUAAAUUUUUACAGACAGAUGUCAUCUUAAGGAUUAAGGAAACGAAAAGAAGACCAUAACCAUUUUGAAGUGUAACACGGUUCUUAGCUCUGCUCUUUGUAAGGAGUCCAGAUCAUUUUGCUAACAUCUACAUCAAGGCCUCCUCGGCCUGCCGCCUUCAAAUGUCUAUCCAGUACCUUAGGAUCUGCGCAGAUCACGUGUUGUCCUUUCCUGUACUGUAUCAGUUCCAAACUCUGAAGGGUGCUUAAUAUAUCUUCUGCUUUGAUUGCUGUCAUGUCACUCAGCUCCUACAUUUGGAACAAGGGUUGAGUUAUAUGAAAUAGUAUGUUGUUGCAUAGGCUAAAAAGUAUAAUAAAAGAGACAUAUAAUAUACCUUGAUAGAUAUGUUUCCCUUGUGCUUUUUCAAGAUGUCUAAUAAAAUCCGAGUCCAGUAUCCUCUGUAACUCACUAAGCCAAGAUCAGAGAGGGGUCGCUCUGGUGUCCCGACUUUGCCUUCUUUCUUUGAGAGUUCAUAGGCUAUAUAAUGCAGAAUAAUGUGUAAGCUUUAUAGAGAGAUGUGAGAGAAAAUAAAGAGACUAAAAUGGAAAAAAAAAAACUCACAGAAGGCGAUUAAGAAUUUUCCGUAGCCUUUCCUUUGAUAAGGAGGAAGGGUGAGGAUGCAAGCCAAGUUGUAAGCUUCUUCAGAGUGUUUCUCCUGUAUCAACAGAACUUGCAUCAUUUCUACACACUAUCAAAUGGAAACCAAAUAUGUACAUAACGGACCCAAGAGCCAAGAGUGCUGAACCUUUGAAAAGUAUCCAACCAUGUGACAUCCACGAUCAUCACAUUCGCAGAGAAUAUAAAAUAGGAACAAAUCAACAUCAUAGUAAAGAGUUUUGUGGUCAAGAAAUAGCUUGGCCAGAUAACAGAGGUUCUGUGCAUAGACCUUGUUCUUCUUGCCAUCCACCUGUAAGAUAUUACAUAACACUCCCAGGUCAUCAAACGUAUGUAACAACGCUGAAGAUAUGAACAUAGAUAAGAAGGCUAGAGCAGACGAUAUAAAACUGAAUAUCUUAGGAGAUUACCUCAAACAUUGACAAAGUAGAACUUCGAUAGAUUUCAUCCCCAGGGGGGUGCUUCAGAUCGCAUUUUCUCUACAUAAACAAGGACAAUUGAGUAAAAGUUAAGUAAAAGUAAUGAAUACAACUUGAAUGAACCAUGAAAGGUAUGUAUGGAAAAAACAAUUAAGGUACUUACCAUAUGCCUUUGAAGCUGCUCUUUGCGUUUCAUAAAACUGAGGCAAAACUCACAGAAAAAGAGCUUCACGCAGUCAUUGUAUUCUGGCGGGAAAGGAGAAAAGUACCAUGUCUCAAUUUCAUAUUUCCCAAGCUCAAUCGUUGCUAUGUUCUUCACUUUCGUGAAUUCCUCGUGUUCUCGUAAACUUGCAGCAUCCAGCUCUUCAUGACCCUUUACAAAUGUUGAAAAACAUCAGAGUAUAUCCUGACACACAGUUCACCACAACCAAUUUUUACUAAAGAUAGACAAUCGCUUACCUCUACAUGAGUCUCAUCAAUCUUCCGUUUCUGGUGUCGUGUCAUCUUCAAGCUAGUCACCUAUUACCACAACAAAAACGCUUCUCUGUUUCAGUGCAAAUUACGGAGAAGAAAGCUCAAGGAUUUAAAGAAAAAUGGCUACCUUGUCUUCAACUUUUUCAUCUAAAGCACACUCUACUGAAUCAAGGUCUAGCUGCUCCAGCUUAAUCCAUUCAUCCAAUCUUCUAUUAACUGCAGAAUUCACAAGAGCUCUGAAAAUCAGACACAACUUGAAUUUCAAGCCCUUCACUUCAAUUUCAAAAAUUUCAUCUCCAAUCCCUAAACCCUAGAUUCACAAAAUUAGGCAGAGAAAGGAAACAACAUACACUCUGUGUAGUGAACGUAAUACUCGUAGUCAUUGUGGCCACCAUUAUAAUUCUUCCGGCGCUCGAUAACCUUCACCGGAUGGUACUUCCCGUCUCUCCAUUGACACAUCACGCGAGUACCAACCUCGAGCGGAAGCACCCCUGUUCUUCUCUUCUUCGACGAUUCCGGUUCUGAGACGACGAGAUCGAGUAUCGCAGCAGGAGUAUGAUUCGUAUGCGCAUCUCCACCGUUGGUACCGGGAUUAUUGUGGUUCGACGCCGGUGAGGCGGAGACAAUCGCCGUCUCUGUAUUCGCAGACGAUCCCAUUUCUUCAGUCGGGUCGAAGAUGUUUCCCGGGUGGAUUGGUUUUUACAUAUACGGGUAAAGAACACAAUUUGUAAUUACAGUGUAGCCCAUUGAUCGCUUUUAUGGCUUAUAAUUUGGGCCUAUAUCUUUUAUGGGCCUGUGGUAUUAUGCUAACAGUCAAUACACACGUUUAUAACUGUUGAGUUUAAGGUUUAAAAUUUCUAAUCUCCAGGUUAAAUUAUAGCAAUAAUGAUUAGUAGUAGUUUAACAAUAAUUUCAAAAUAAGAAGAAAACGAGUGACAGAGUCAGUUGGGUUUUGUCGUGAAUGGGAAACAGCCAAACAAGGCUUUAUGAUUCGUAUUUGAUAACACAAGAUUCACAGAUCAAAAACUCACAAAGUUCCAAGAAGGAAACACCAACUCACAACUCAUCAUCAUGUCCUUGAACUUAUGGUCAUAACUCAUAACAGAUUCGCACACCAUGUUCCUCUAAAUUAACCAAAAUGAUUUUUAAAGAACAAGAAAAAAGAUUCGCAUGGUCACUUUACUGUAUCUUGUAAAUGAAAAUUUACAAUCACAUUUCUUAAAGUGAAAAUUUACAUAUCAAUUUAUUUAUUUAUUUUGUAUUUCCGGAGUAGGUAAUAUGUGACUUGACUUACUUUGGAAUGAAGAAAGAAUACAAUUGAUUCUUAUUUCAGUUGUUCACAUGUAAACACGUUAUAUGGCAUCUUGACAAAAAGAAAUAUCACAUAUUCACAUUAAGAAUUCUUUUGUUUUUGAUAUAGGAAUGUAGCAACAAAUUCCAAUUAUACGAAUUAAUUUGGUGGUAUUACAUAUGUAUUCAUCUUUGUGAGUAUGGUCAACAAUAUGCAUUAUGUAAAUUGAAUCCGAGUUGUAUCAGUGAUAAUAGUUUAAAACUAAAUAUCAUGGUAAACGUAGUUAAUUUGUUGUUGUAGAUAGUUUCAUAGAAUGGGAGAGAUAUCUAUAUAAUAAUUUUCAUAACAUAAAGUUUAAUACUAAAAAACCAUUCCUUUUUUUUUUUUUUUUUAUAACACAAACCAUUCCUUAGUUUGCAACUACAAAUGAUAAACAAAAAUAGUAUUUAUUUUAAAAUAUUUAUAAAAUGUGUAAAAUCAAGAAGCUGCUGAAAAUAUAAGACAAGAAUCCUCUUUCUUCCAUCUCUAUCUCUCCAAAGACAGUUGCUCAACCCCUUCUUCUUGAAAUGGCUUCUUCUUCUCUUAUCUUCAUGCUCCUCCUCAUCUUCACCCUAUCCUUUUCAUCACCAACUCUAAUCUCAGCCAAACCCAACACGACAAUAAUCGAAUCAACUUGCAAAAACACAAACAACUACAAAUUCUGCGUGUCGGCUCUCAAAUCCGACCCAAGAAGCCCCACAGCCGACACAAAAGGUCUCGCAGCCAUCAUGGUCGGAGUUGGCAUGACAAACGCCACCUCCACCGCAACUUACCUCGCCGGAAACCUAACCUCCGCUGCGAACGACGUCGUCCUCAAAAAGGUCUUACAAGACUGCUCCGAGAAGUAUGCCCUCGCCGCUGAUUCUCUUCGGCAAACAAUUCAAGAUCUUGAUAGUGAAGCCUAUGACUAUGCUUCCAUGCAUGUCUUGGCGGCGGAGGAUUAUCCUAAUGUUUGCCGCAAUAUUUUCCGGCGAGUUAGAGGGCUGGCUUAUCCGGUGGAGCUUCGCAGGCGUGAACAGAGCCUGAGACGUAUCUGUGGUGUUGUCUCCGGGAUUCUUGACCGCCUUGUUGAAUGAUUUUACAAUAUUUGCAUUAACGUUGGUAAAAUCUACUAUGUUUUAAGUUAUCGUAUUAAAUGAAUUUUUAAUGUGGAAUCUGUAACCUUUUUAAUACCGUUACUAUAUUACUCUUCUUCUUCGCAACUACUCUUCUUCCAAAUUACCAAAAGCAAAAUUAUUAGAGAUCAUCUGAACAUUUGAAUUUAAUAUUUCGCAAUCAAUUUACUAAUCAUACGAAAAUCUUAAGUCGUCUUUAGUGCGAAAGAUUUGGGGGAAAAGGCGCUAUUAAGAGUUGGGAAGUAGAGAUAUUUUUUUAUAGUUCUUUGAUUGAAUAUAACUUUAGGUAACUUUUGCUUUAUCUAUAUGCAUUAUACGUGUUAUCGCUUGUGUAGAUGUGUUUACACUUUAAAAAUUGCGAUAAAGGUCUUUAAAGUGUCAUCUAAAAGAAAAAAAGGAUAAAGGUAACGUCGUCUAUAUAUAUUUAAAGCUGAAUAGUCAUCGACCUCAUAAACUACUACUAGACUACCCUUGCUUUUAUAAGACGACGUCGACUGAUAUACGAAUCAAAAGCAAAAGCCAAAAGAUGUGUGACUUUUUUCUCAUACCAAAAAUAAAUCUGAUGUAUGUAAGUAUGUUCGUAGGUCAGUGACUACAGUUCUUACUUCUCUCUAUCGGUUUUUUAAAAAAUAGACUCAUAAUUGAACGAUGAUGUAACCGUAUUGCCCACAACAACAAUCUGAUGGUUUAAGUCGAACGAAUAGUCAAAAUAGAGUUUAGCGGUCCAGUGACUCCAGUCAAAAUGUUAAAUUGUUAAUUUAAUACGAGAGUCAAAGCAAAUAAUUAAUUCGGUACACUGAUUUCAGAUUAAACCGGGCUAGGCGGUGGAUAAAAUCGUCAUUUGACACACAGACUAUAUUUUCGCGCCCAAAAGACGCGCCACUGUGACAGAGUCCUUUUUUUUUUUUUAAAGUUUAUUCGUCUUCAUCUUCCCACUACACUUACUAAUCCGUAAAAACCUAGAAAUUUUCCCUAAUUUUCUCGAGAAAAUCCGCCACGAUUCUGGGGCGUUGUGCACGAUUUGACCCCAAAGAAAAUGAAGGGAGGUACGAUACAGAUAAGCUGGCACGACGGGAAACCGGUGCUAACCCUCGAUUUUCAUCCGACUUCCGGUUUACUCGCCACCGCCGGAGCCGAUUACGACAUCAAGGUAAUGCAAUUCUUUACUCAAAUAUCGCUUUAUACAUAUCAUUAAGAUCUGAUUGCUGUUAAUUUUGGAAUUUGAAUGUUUGAAACUCCGAUUGUUCAAUUCUAAUUGUUUUGAAAUCUGGAUUUAUUUUUUUGUCCACCGUCGACUAAAAAUUGAAAACAAUAAUAAUUUCAGCUAUGGUUGAUAAAUUCUGGUCAAGCGGAGAAGAAGAUUCCUAGUGUAUCUUACCAGAGUAGCCUUACUUACCAUGGAUGUGCUGUUAAUACCAUUCGUUUUUCUCGAUCUGGUAAGCACCAGCUUUUUGUUAUAUGAUAUAUCUGAGAUGUUCUUCAGUUGUAAUCAUGUUACAUUUUAUGUGUUAUCUAGUGGUGACGACUAUUCUGUUAUGAUGUGCAGGGGAACUACUUGCCUCAGGAGCAGACGGUAUGAACUGAGAACCACCAACAUAUCUGGUGGCUAAGAUGCAAGUCUGCUUUUUGAAUAUUUUGGAAUGCGGAAAGAAACUAAUUGAGCAGUUCCAUUUCUUUGGUGUUAAUCCAGGAGGUGAGCUUAUCAUAUGGAAGUUGCAUCCUAGUGAAACCAAUCAGUCCUGGAAAGUUUACAAGUCAUUAUCGUGAGUCCUUUCAUCUCAAUAAUUAGCUACAUUGCCAUGCUUCUAUAAAUCUUUAAAUUGAAUACUGUUGUUCUAUCAUGACGGGAGAAUAUUCUGUAGGCUAGUGACAUUGUUGAAACAGUAUGAAAGUUUUACCACAAUUACCAAUAUGGACUCAAUCAAAUGUAGUAGGCCAUGGUGAGAAGCAUGCGGUACUAAAGUCCUCCAUUAUCUCAGGAGCAGCAAUGUAGGCUAAGAUAAUUAUUUUGUUUGACCUGCUAGAUUUCACCGAAAGGAUGUCCUGGAUCUUCAGUGGUCUCCUGAUGAUGCUUAUCUGAUUUCUGGCUCAGUGGACAACUCUUGCAUUAUAUGGGACGUUAACAAAGGUGAGAAAUAAGAGAAUAGAUAAGUUUUUAUUUGACAUGUUUGCUCCAGAUUUCCUGCUUCUCAUAAUUCUGUAUUUGCUACAGGUUCUGUCCAUCAGAUACUGGAUUCCCACUGUCAUUAUGUUCAAGGUGUUGCCUGGGACCCCUUAGCAAAGUAUGUAGCCUCUCUUAGUUCAGACAGGACAUGCCGUAUAUAUGUCAAUAAGCCUCAAACAAAGAGUAAAGGUGUUGAAAAACUGAACUAUGUUUGCCAGCAUGUUAUCACUAAAGCAGAUCAGCAACGGGGAGAUGAAACUAAGGUUAGAGAGAAAAUAAUUUCUUCAUGAUUCACACAAAUACACAGUAUUCCUAAUUUCAAAAUGGCAAUUAUGCAGACAAUAAAAACUCACCUCUUUCAUGAUGAGACAUUGCCAUCUUUCUUUCGAAGGUUGUCAUGGUCACCUGAUGGAUCUUUUUUACUCGUUCCAGCAGGUUAUUAUAUACAUUAAAACCAGUCUUGUUUUUUUCAGAAUAUUGGGCUAGAUCAUCAUAUUGUUUACUCUGGUAUUAUUUAUGUCCCUAACAUUUCUUGUCAACACUGUGUUGCAUUUCCAGGUUCUUUCAAGGUUUCACCCACAUCCGAAGCUGUAAAUGCUACCUAUGUCUUUUCUAGAAAGGAUCUUUCAAGGUAAGAUAAUCACCCCACCAUCUUUUGUAUGGAAGUCGUAAGACUUUUGGAAAAUAUUGUAAGUAUGUAAGCUCUUCUUUUAGCUAAGCCAAGUGACCUCAGUUGCUUGAGCUUAUGUAUGAGAUAUUUAUACAUCAAGACAAAGUCUCACACUAACUCAUUCCUUUUUCCACAAUCAGACCUGCACUGCAGCUUCCAGGUGCCAACAAACCGGUUGUAGUGGUUCGUUUUAGCCCUGUUGCAUUCAAACUCCGUGGUUCAAAUUCUGGUACAUAUUAUGCCAUUUUUUCUUUCUUUCUAAUGAUGGAAAAGAAGGCCGUCAUCAAGUAUAUAAUUUUCUUAAAUCUGCUAAUUUUAGUUAUUUCAAAUGGUAUUUUGAAUCAUGCAGAAGAGGGUUUCUUCAAGCUUCCUUACCGUCUCGUCUUUGCUAUUGCAACUUUAAAUUCGGUGUACAUAUAUGACACAGAGUGUGUGACUCCAAUUGCAGUCUUAGCAGGUCUCCACUACGCUGCAAUAACCGAUAUAACCUGGUAAAAAUAAUAUGCACAUUUAUUUCAGACCUGAAUGAUCCUUGUCCAAAUCUUCUUCAAUGUUUUAAAUUGUAACCAAUAAUCAUUUCUUUCAACAGGUCACCUAAUGCCUCCCAUCUAGCACUGUCCUCACAAGAUGGCUACUGCACACUAGUCGAAUUUGAAGAUAACGAAAUAGGAGAACCCAUCCCCAUAUCAGGUUUGCUCUUAGUUUUUUCACUCUCAACCUUCCAGAAUACCAUUUGACGCAUCAAUUCCAUUGCAGUCGGGAAGAAACCCGUGGACAGUGAGGAGAAACAGCAUGAUCUAGAGAAAACCAACGAGCUGACGACCGAAACAAAACCAGCUGAGAGCAGUAUACUGACUGAAUCAGAACAUUACGAGGAGAAUAUUAUGCAGAAACCCGAUAAAGUGAUGACGGAAACAAAAAAAGAGGAAGAGAAAGAGCCAUUGCAGAGCAAAGUUAACACACCUGUCUUAAACAAACCAGCGAGGAAGCGCAUCACACCUAUGGCUGUUGAUCCCUAAUGGUAUAAAACUAACCACUACUGAUGUAUACAUUUUGUUCCAUAUGUUUUUACUUUGCUACAAUUAUCUUUCUCAUAGUCUACAUAGUAGACAUGAAUUGUAUCAAUGGAUUUUUGUAGCAAAUUACGGGCACGAGCCCACGUUGGAAAUGGAUAAGUUUCUUUAGUCGGUCCUAUGUGGCUUUUCAAAACCGAUGUACUCACAUGUAUGAGUAUGACACAUGAGAUGGAUGGUUUUCUUGUGUGAUCAAUCAUGAGCUGGGCAUCAAAAGCCUUAUUAAAGGCCCAAACUUCAUAUAGCUAAAUGCAACAAUCUGUGACGCAAAAGGUAUGUUGUGUGUUGAGCUUUUUUGGCCCGUUUUAACCAAAUGUGUGAAUAAAACAAUAAUUGACCGGUAAAAAAAACCAUAAUUUUACCCUAAUAUUUAGUUUCCAAAACCUUUCUUCCCCCAAUAGCCGUAAAAAAGGUUAAAAAAAAAGAAACAAAAACCCAGAAAAUUUUAACUCUCUCGUCUCCUUCAAUGGCUAUCGCUCUCAAUCUCUGAAUUUCAUCCUCUGUCUCUUUCUCUCAAUCAGAGAUUUUUUCAAGUAUUCUUGAAUCUCAAUUUCUCUUUCUUUUUCCACUUUCAAUUAUACUUUUGUAUAAACAUUUUUACACAUAUACACAGACAUUUAUAAAAAUAUCUUGUCUCUCCCUCCAAUGGAUUCUCCGAAACUGCCGUACUCCCUCUCCGCCUCUUCCUCCGCCCCGUUUGCUUCAUCCGUCGUAAAACCUCACCAGAAAAAACUCCUUACCCGUAAUUGCAUCCUCAUCAUCAUCGCAACGUCCUCUAUUCUCCUCCUCCUCCUAACUCUCCUCAUCUACGCUACCGUCUCUAAAUCCUCCCGCAACCACCAUAACUCAACGCACCAAAACCCAACCUCCAACGAUCCUCCGCUUCCCCCUCCUCCGAUCGCUCAGAUCCGUCUGGCCUGCAACGCGACGCGUUUCCCAGACCAUUGCGUCACCUCCCUCUCUAAACCGGGUCAAGUCCCUCCGGAUCCUAAACCGGUUCAAAUAAUCCACUCUGCGAUUUCAGUCUCAUACGAGAAUCUCAAAUCCGGCCAGUCAAAAAUCAAGGCUAUCCUAGACUCAUCCGCAGAGAAUAAAAACCGUACGAACAUCGCCAACAUUUGCCUCGAGAUCCUCUCUUACGCUCAGCACCGUACCGAAUCAACGGACGUCGCCGUGACGGGAGGCGAAAUCAAAGACGCUCGUGCUUGGAUGAGCGCAGCUCUAGCUUACCAGUUCGACUGCUGGUCCGGUCUCAAAACCGUCAACGAUACGAAGCAAGUCGUCGACACGAUCACUUUCUUCGAAGAUCUCGUGAACCUCACCGGAAACGCGUUGAGCAUGAUGUUAUCGUUCGACAACUUCGGGGACGACAUCGUUUCGUGGACUCGUCCAGCGACGGAACGAGAUGGGUUUUGGGAGAAAGCUGGGCCGAGUUUGGGCUCGGGUACGGGUAAAGAGGCUAAUUUGGGAUUUCCGUCUGGUUUAACGGAAGACGUGACGGUGUGUAAAAACGGAGGGAAAGAUUGUAAAUACAAGACGGUGCAAGAAGCCGUUAACGCAGCGCCGGAUACUAACGGAACCGUUAAGUUCGUGAUACGGAUUAGAGAGGGCGUGUAUGAGGAAACCGUUAGGGUUCCGUUUGAGAAAAGGAACGUCGUCUUCAUCGGAGACGGAAUGGGCAAAACGGUAAUUACAGGAUCGUUGAAUGUUGGACAACCAGGAAUGACAACGUUCAACUCUGCAACUGUCGGUGAGUUUUUUUCCGUAAAACCCUGUUUUUGAAUUUAUUAGAUUUAACUUGUUAUUUUUCUUCGUCAAUUUUAUUUAAGAAACAUAAAUGAGAAGAAGAACAUUAAAAGUCAAAAACAGAAAUUUGUUUUUUUCUUUUACUCUUGUGAAAGAUGGUAUCUCUUUUUAGUACUGUGUCCACACUCCACAGUGUCUAGAUUUGCUCUGCCACGUAAAAACGAAUAAUGAUUUAUUGAUAUUUCGAGAUUCAAGUUAUGUUCCUAGUUUCAAUAGAGACAGAACCCAUGUGACAUUCAGACAUUUUUACUUGGAAAAUAAUAUAUUCAUUGGAUCUUGUUAGUAUUAACAUAGAUCUUCUGAUAAUAGAAUAUAUAUAUAUAUAUAUAUAUAUAGUAAGUUGCUUAGUUUAAUCCAAGAAUUUUGGUUAUUCCAAAAUUUAUUUGUUUGAUGUUAUUAUAUGUUUUUGGCUUUGGUAGGAGUUCUCGGCGAUGGAUUUAUGGCUCGUGAUUUAACCAUAGAGAAUACGGCAGGAGCAGACGCGCGUCAAGCGGUUGCGUUUAGAUCAGACAGUGAUUUCUCAGUACUCGAAAACUGCGAGUUUCUCGGGAACCAAGACACUGUUUACGCUCACUCGCUCCGUCAGUUUUACAAACAAUGUCGAAUCGAGGGCAAUGUAGACUUCAUCUUCGGUAACUCAGCUGCUGUAUUCCAAGACUGUGAUAUCCUUAUCGCUUCCAAACAUUCCAAACUCGAAAAUGGCGCAAACAACGCCAUCACAGCACACGGGAGGAUUGACGCGUCUCAGUCCACGGGAUUUGUCUUUUCGAACUGUUCGAUUAAUGGAACUGAGGAAUACUUGAAAGAGUAUCAAGCUAACCCUAAAGGGCAUAAGAACUUCUUGGGAAGACCAUGGAAGGAAUUUUCGAGGACGGUUUUUGUAAACUGUAAUCUUGGGUCCUUGAUUAGUCCUGACGGAUGGAUGCCUUGGAGCGGGGAUUUCGCGUUGAAGACUUUGUAUUACGGUGAAUAUAAGAAUACAGGUCCGGGAUCGGAUAGAUCGAAUAGGGUUCCAUGGAGUAGUGAGAUACCAGAGAAGCAUGUUGAUGUUUACUCUGUCGCCAAUUUCAUUCAGGCUGAUGAGUGGGCUUCCACGACAGCUUGAUUUUGUAAAGGAAAAUGAGGCUUUACUUAGGUUCUGAAAUGAAGUCAGGAGAAUGUAACUUUAUUCUAGUGUUAAAUAUUAGUGUGGUAUCUUUAUCGCUAUUCAUAGAUUUAAUAAUUGAAGAUAACCAUCAAUCAUAAAGUUCUAAGCUUUUGAGUGAUGGAAGAAACCACGUAAACCAUAUCAUAGCAAAACGUACGAAGAUAUGAACUUUAAAAAUCUUAUCAUACUUUUCUUAGUGGUUGAAGACUCUCACUUCACUUCUUAACUUUAUUUUAUAUAUGCAAGAAAAAUGGAUAAAUGCUUGAUGCUUCAAUGGAAGCACAUAUAAACUGUUUGUUUCAAAGGGUAAAAAGAAAGUUACUAUGUAUUUUCUACCUUCGGUGAAACACAAAAUGAGGACAGUGAUGACUAACGUGACACACAAAGCUAUGGGGUCGAAGGAGAAACAACAUGGGAAAGAAAAGAAAAAGAAACAUGUUCUUUGGAGUGAGAGAGAGCAAAAGAGAGAUCUUAUAUUUAUAUGUCGGAAUCAGAACUCUUCUCUUCCUUUGGUGGUGCAUACUGCCUGGUGAGACGAGAUCUUUCCCAUGGGUCCAACGGCACUCGAGGUGGUGGUUGAGGUGUUGCUGGUUUCGAUUGCCUUAGCUCGUUCUCUCUAUCGAUAAACCUGCGCCAAGAAGAGUAUAACCAGUUGUUAGCUCACCAAGAAGAGUUUACACAUACACCAUAUAAUGUUUGAUUUUUAUGAUCAUUGUCCAUUUUGUUAUCAUCGAGGCUAUAGAAAACCUGAACUCAAUGCGGUUCUGUGAGAAGAAUGAACAAUAAAGAAAAGAAAUUUGUGCUUACUCGAUAUAGGCCAUUGGUGCAGCAUCACCAACACGUAUGCGAGUGCGGAGCAUUCUUGUGUAUCCACCAGCUCUGUCUCUGUAAAACACAUAACAUCCAUCUGAUGAAACAAAGUUGAGAGUAUUAAGGAGAGGUCCAAGAUUAAAAAAGGAAAAACAAGGUCAGAGGAUUCACUUGUAUCGAUAAGCCAAUUCAGUAAAAAUCUUGUGAAGUACAUCAUCUCCUCUAACAAACCCAGCAGCUCGCCUUGCUGCAGCUAGUGAGCCCUGUAAUCAAUCAUUUCAUCACCGAUAUGAAAGUGAUUGGCUAUCUGAUUAAUCUAAAUUGCUUUUGCUAUUUACUUCAACCACAAUUCUCGAAAACUACUUACAAAAGAAACAAUUUUUGAGCUUAUAAAACCCAAGAUUUGAGUACACUUAAACACAACUACAUGCUCCACACACACACAAAAAAAACAGCUAUGGUGUCUGAUUAUACAAAAGAUUCGAGAAAGUUGCUUAAACUUAUUGGAAAGAAAGUUAAAGGAUCGAUUUACCUCUUUGCCGAGUUGAACCAUAUUAUCAGCAAGACGACGGACCUCUUUAGCCUAAAAAAUCCAAUGUAAGUAAUGAGAAUACAUUUUUAGGACAAGACACACUACAAGUCUCCAAGAAAUGAGAGCACAGAUUCUCAAUAGCUGACUAUGUAUAAACCCUAGCUAAACCUCAAAUCAAAAUUAAAAAUAUAUAUAGAGAGAUGGGAAUCACUAAUUAGUACCUUUGUAACAGUGGUUUCAAUUCUCUCGUGUUUCACCAACUGAGAAACCAUAGUCCUGAUAAGAUUUGGAUUGGAAACAUAAAAUAGAGAAAUUUUAAGCAAUGUGCGAAGAAUCAAGGAUCGAUGAGAAAGUUUAUAGAAAGACAAUAAGAAGAAGAAACCUGAGCAUGGACAUACGGUGACCAGCUGGGCGACCGAGCUUCCUGAAUUUUGUCAUUUCUGCGACGGCGAAGCGAUCGGAGAAUCAAAAAUGGCGAAAAUGGGAAACAAGAAUGAAAAGAACUCACACGAAGGUGAACCCUGAACUUAGUAAUGGGCCGAAUCUUCUAAUGUUUGGCCCAAUAAAAAAGGAAUCUAAAAGCCGUUUGUGUAAAUUUGGACUUAAUUAGCCGUAGUGUUUAAACCAACCAUACGCAAAUCAACUGAGUCCAGUUAUAUACUCCACCAGUUGUUUGACAGUAAUAAUCAUAUUCUGAGCCGGAUUUUUCAUUUCCUUUCUUAUCGGAGCUAGCUUCUCUUCUCUCUUUGUUGUUCUUCCUCAAUUCAAAAUUAUUUAUUAUUUAUUCAGAGUUACACUUUGCAUUGACAUGCCUAACUUCUCCACUGACGUAAACUGAAGACCAUUUUUGUUACAACUUACAACACAAAACAACAGUCCCAGAGAAUAAAACACACAGAUCCCAAAUUUUGUGGGCGGUUUUGUCGACUCUUCUGCUCCUUCGUAUCGAGAGAGUCAAAGGCCAGCUCUCAAAGUUGGACUCGUUGAGAGAGAGAGAGAGAGAGAGAGACUUUAUAAUAUAAUCUUGAAUCUUUGUAACGAUUAGUAUACAGGUUUUAUAAAGCAACACUUGAAAAUCCGAAAACACAAAAAGUCAGUUGGACAUGCAUUAUAAUAUAGUCAACAUUUUAAAAAGCAAUAUAUAACUUUUAAAUGACUGUAGUAUAUAACUUCAAAGUGGUCCGAUACCAGCUCAUUAAUUCGUGGGUUUCUCAAGACCAUUUCCAAAACUUUAAAAGUAUUUGUAAGAGAGUAUAAAUAAGUAGGGGACUAAGGGAGUAUCAUCCAAUGAGAAUAGUCAAAUACUUAUAUAUAUGGGAUUCUUAUGAACUUUGCCAUUUCCUCACUCAAAUCUUUUAAAUGUGUCAUUUUCAUAUUUUGUGGAUUUUCCAUUUUUAAGUUUUUAAAAUGUGUGCUUUUAUGAUUUUUAUUUUGCUAAAAUACAUACUUCGUAACAAAUACUAAACCCAAAAAAAUGGAAUUAAGAAAAUCCAAACAUAAUAUGUAAACUUUUGUUUUUAAAUAUUAAAAAAUGACAAAUCAAAAAUAUUUUGAGUAAAAUGGCAAAAACUGUAAAUGCCAUUGAAAAAAGUCCUUCUCAAGUAAUUAACUUUAUAUAUAUUUCUACAGUUUUAUAAAGAAGAAAAAAAAAAAAAUCUUGGGACAGAAAAAAACAAAAAUCAUGUCUUUUUACAGAAAACAAUUAAGUUGAUCUGUUCAAAAUAUUGUUAAGUGACUAUAGUUUUUGAGAUUUUAAAUGGAUUUCUAACCAAAAAAAAAGUAAUAAUAAUACCACAAGAUGAGGAAAAAGAUAAAGAUGACUAAGACUUGUAAAUAGGCUUAUGUCUAUGUCGUGUAUGAUGUAUUCGAAUCUUCUAAAGACGAAUUGAAAAUCACAUGUUACAUCGUUACAUAUUCAUAUUUUUGUGGGUCGAUGGGAACUAUAUGACGUAUUCACUCAUCUCCUUUUGACAAUUUUGGACCUAUUAUUACCAACAGAAUAUAUAUAUCAAAAUCCGUAUUUUUCGAAAAAGCAAUUCCAUAUCAAAUGAUACGAAUUAACACUAUGAUUGGAAAAUUCAAGAACAUCAUUAUUAUUUGAUUUUACUUUACAGUAAUAACAGAACAUUUAGACUACAACAAUGAAUUGAAUCUUCUUCUCUUUUUUUUAGUUUAUAUUCAGUAUUCAAAAUUUCAAUUUGUUUUACAAUUUUUUCUCACUUUUUUUCUUUUCUUCCAAGAAACAAAUCCUAAGAACGAACCCUAAGUGAGUAAAAAAAAAAAAAAGAAUUGAUUAAAACGGCAUGAUAUGUGUCGUUUUGGUGUCGUAAGCCGAAAGGCAAGAUCUUGAAUUCACCUUGAACACUUUUAGAAGAUCCGUUAACAUACGUCUAACGGCGGGAGAGCAAUUGCUCUGUAACAGUAACAGAAUCUUCGUGACUCCGUUAGCACUCGUGACAGCUUCCAAUGCUUUAUCUUCUUUGAAAAGGUAUGAUACACUCCACAGCACCGUCACGGCGUGCUCUGUCGCCGCCGUCGACACUUUCAUCAGCUUUUUAACUACCGUUUUCAAACACUCGCCGUCUCCGCCGCAAAUCUCUGAUCUCCCUUCCUUAGUAGAUGCCAGAAUCUCGAGAAGCUUCAGACAUUUCUCGGUGACCGAAACGCUCGACGCCGUCGGAUCUGAUAACAAUUUAGUCACAUCUCCGAUGAGUUUCUCUCGGAUUAGGUUGAGUUUCACGCGUUUCGGUGAGCUAAUCGCGAUCAAACACGAUAAACUCGAUUCGAUUAAGCUCGAAUCUGAGUCUUUACUAAUCGAUUUCAUUAGCUCCGUCACCAAUCCAUCUCUCUCGGCUAUUAAAAGCUUUGAUUCGGCGUCGACGGCGAUGAACUCAAGUAAACCGGCGCAAUCAAUCUUCAAUUCGACAUUCCCGGUUCGAAACAAGAAGACGAUAACCGCUAACCGAUCUCGACCGUUAUUUAAAAUCAGAUUGGAAAACCGUCUCCGAUCUGAGAUUUUGGUUCGAACCAAACUGAGAAUCUUAACCGCCUCUUGAACAACCAGCGAUUUCGCGGCGGAGGUGGUUUCGAAAUCGACCUUGUCAAUCAGAUCGACGAGAAGCCUCACGAAAUCAUCUUUUCCGGCGAGAAAUCCUCUGUUAUCAUCAGAUUCUCUGCCGAAGCGAACAAUCUUGGACAAAACUUCGCGGUCGUCUCGCUCUUCUUUCUCGAUCUUCACUCUAUCAAUCGCAUCGGCGAUCUCAUCUCUCGUCGGAGCAGCUAACUCCGCCGACUCAACAGAAGCUCGACGACGAACAGAAUCAGACCAAAUCUCGAUCAAACGCUGAAGAGUCCGGUUAGGAAUGAAAUCCUUGUUCUGAAGAAUCUGCAUCGUCGCGGGACAAGUGUUGUUGCCGCCGUCGAGCCACCGUUGGAUACUAGCUCGAUCGUAGGUAACACCGGUGCAAAGACUCACCGGAGAUUUCAUAACGUCGAGAGAUAUAGGACAUCGGAAGAACGUAGGAACAGUGAUGCAGAGAUCAUCCUUCCUCAUUAUUGCUAUUUUUUUUUCUUUUUUGGUUUGCCGAUUUGCUCCGAUAUGAAAGCGUGUGGGAGAGAGAGAGAAGAGAGAGAGAGUUUUGUUUAAUGGUUUUAGUGCGUGGGGUUUGGUUUAAAAGAUGAGAGAGAGAGAGAAAAAACAAAGAGUCAAACUUUGGUGACGUCAAAUAAUUUCACUUUUUUGACGAGAAUUUUAACUAAUACUAGUAUUUUUAAAAAUAUCUUUUUCUAAAAUACUAUUUUUAUAAAGACCUACAUCGAAUAAAAACUUUUUCUUUUAACGUAAAUCGAAUAUAACUUUUAUUUUUUUUCCUUCUUUAUGCUAUUAUAAACUAACUAUACUACAAAAUUAGAAUAAUAUUUAUAGCACACUCCAAAGUUGAAUGAUAAUUUUCUUUAAAUCAAAACGUAAAAAACUAUUUUAAUUUUUAAGUGUUUUUCACUUUUGGUCGUUGGUCAAAGAAGUCUUUCGGCGCGUUAUAUUAAUAUUUGGUGGAGAUUUUUCAGUUUUCAAAACACAGCCGUUGAUCUACAAAUCUAACUCGUUGGAAUUGGACGGUGACGAUUUGAGUCCCACUUUACGUCUUAAGAACGCACCGAGUUUUUUUGGGGUUGUGCAAUCGCACGUUUGAGAUUUGUGGAAACGCACAACUCUUCUUUUUCUUUAUUAUUUUCUAUAUGACCCUUUCUAUUUUUAUUAUUUUAAGUUAUCUCCUCGUUCUCUUGUUUCCUCAGUUUUGGUCCUCAUCAUUUUCACAUUUGGGCGGUUCGUAAAAUCUAAAACGCGUAAUCAUACGAAAUAAUCGAAUACUACAUUACAUGCUCGUCUAAUUCUGUAAUUUGAUUAUUCUCACCCUUUCUUUGACAACAAAUUAUAUUGUUUACUAUAUAGUUAGGUGAAUCACCAUCACACUUUUGAUAAUGAUAAUAUUUGUAAAGUGAGUGGAGUGCAUUACAGACUUACAAUCUCAACUUUCAUGGUAGCAAUGAUUUCAACGGUAGCAAUAUCUUUUUUAUGUUCAGUUCGUGCAAGAAUUUGACUUAAGAUUUAUGUAUUUAGCAACCUAAAUAAGUGUAUGAUGUAUACUUUGUGUAAAAUAUAAAAAAUGUAGGCAGAAACUAAUAAUAUUUAAUAACAAAUGGAAAAGAUAUUACGUAAAAGAAAAGGAAAAAAAAAUGAGAGAAAAGAAGAAUAAAUAUGAGCAAAUUGUUGAUCAAUUGACCGGACAGAUUCUAUGGGCAAUAUUGCAUCUUUUGUUGCACCUCCACUUCUGUUUGUUUUUUAUGUCCGCAACUAGCAAUACAUGACGUGGCACUUAUAUGUAUUAAACCUCUUUAUCCCCUCCUCUUCGAUACUUUCUUUAAGACUUGUCUUCUUAUGUUCAUUACAACUUCAACCCAUUUUAAGAUUUAUAUAAACCCUUGCGCGCUAUUCAUUUUUCUUUGUCUAAUAAACAAGCUUUAUAUCGUCAAAGUGUGAUAGAUCAGUCGUAGUCAAAUCCGCCUCGUAAGUCAAGUGAUCAUAAAUGUUGAUCUCCCAAGAGUGUUAUUUCAAAAUAAAUAAAAACAGUUUUAUUUGUUACAAUUUGAUUGCGACUUAUUUAAUUAAUCUUAAAUAUUUGUGUUCGUUGAAAUGUUAAUAGUAAUUCAGCUUUACAAAAAGGAUUACUUCUUGAAUUAUUUUUUUAUAUACGAAACAGUUAACAAAAUAAGUGUAUAGUUUCAUUAAAAAAAUACUAUAAAGUAAUAUAUAAAUACAUUUCAUCAAAAAAGGAGGGGCUAAAAUGUUGUUUUCAGCUUCCUUUAAGUCUAUGGGCGCAUCUGUUAAAGAAUUCGGACACAGCAUCCUUUGCUGAUUUAUUUAAACUUAUUAAACACGCGAUAAGUAACCCAAACUCGUGUUUCAUGCAAAUACUUCAAAAGUCAAAGUUGAAUAAUGAUCACCCACACUUAUAAUUACAGCAGGCAUCGAAAUAUUUAAUACUUGUAGAUUAGCAUUUUCGUUUGUAAACAUAAAUAAUCCAUAAACUAAUUUGUUUGCACGUGAGAGGCUGCGUGUUUAGGUUGAUUCAAACACUUAUACGUCCGCACGUUUAAAGCUUUUAUAUAUAUGUAUAUAUAUGUUUGGUCUACAUGAAUGUCAAAUACCAAACAUGAAAGUGUGAAGCCAUGGAAUUGAACUUCUAGCUAUUGGACUUGGCGUACUAAACUAUUCGCAAUUUCUCCACACGUUUAACUCUCUUAUGAAUUUUAUAUUCUCAUCUACUUUUUUUUAUAAUAUUUGCGGGAGAAUAAUUUCAACAUUCAAAUUGGAAUGAUGGUUCAUGAAGAUUUGAAGUCAAAGUCCACGAUUCUGAUGUUAAUAUAUAGUUAUAGUCCCUGUUAGAAGUUGGUAAUCACGUAUGAUUAAAAUUUGAUGGCUAAUUACACAAAUAUAUAUCCCAUGUAAACAUUUAAUUAUAUAAUAUGAUUCGAAUGAAUUUGUUUGCAAAGAAAAAACUUAAACUCAUUUCAUAAAUACUUUUAAUUAGUUUUUUAAAAAAUUACAUAAAACAUUUUUACUUCUCAUACCUCAGAAAAAUCAUAUUAGUUUUGGAUAACGUAAAAAUACACAAAAAGAGUAAACGGAUAUCUGAAAGUGGUAUUUAUGGGCUUUAGUAAAUUCGUAGAUGGGCCUAUUAGCCUAAAAUGUAGUCAUUAAGGCCCAUUUGAUUCGUAUAUUCCUUGAAUGUUAAAAUUGUUAAUUCUAUGUAUAAAGUCUAAAACUAAUAAGAGAAUGGAUGAAAGUAUAAUCAAAAGUAUAAAAGUAUAUAGUAUAUAACACGUAGGAAAAAAUAGUAAUCUACGCUGUGUUUUGCAGCGGUUCGUUUUUUUCAGAAGGCAGAGAGAGAGAGAAAAACUGCAUGCCGUUUUCACUUUCUUAAUGACACAAACAUGACGUCUAGAUUUGCCUUUGUGGUCUUCCUCCUUGAGAAAAAAUAAGAUUUGACGUGUUAAAAGCUAAGCUAGUAGCACGUGUGCGAUCAGUGUUGUACUGUGCUGGUCAAAGUCAAAUUGCCAAUAUAUUCCAACCAAAGCGUAUUUAUUCUUCUUUGAAAUAUAACUCAUGUGUGUUUCCGACAAAUUUUUUUUUUUACCCGUAGACGAGAGAGAGUUUAAACAGUUUUGUAUCUGGUGUUUUUUAACGAUUAAAGUAAAUGUUCAUGUGUAGUGAAAAAUUAAAAAAUUGGACAUGUAAAAAUGAUGUGGAUAACACCGAUCGAAACUAAUUAAAACUUGUAAUAGAUAUAGUUGUAAAUGAAAAAAUACGUACCUACGUGUAUAUAUAACUAUUUGUAAAAAGGGUAACAUUUAAUUCAUCAGAAAAUCAAAUAAAAGGUAGCUAACGAACUUGUUAGCUAAGCUCUCACCCAAAAUCGUCCGUGUCCUUACCCUUCAUGGCUUCCACCUACAAAUACACAUGAUUCAAUUCAGUUACUAACUUUACUAUAUACCUGUCCGAGUUUAUGGCCUUAAAAAAAACAAUUGUCUUUUCUGGACUCUUGAGUCUCGAGGAUGUGGAUUGAAACCUAAAUAUAAUUAUUAUGCAUAUAUAUAAAUUUGUUGUCAGUUAAUUUUGAACUUAAAACUCAUAAAACGCACCUAACUGCAACACUUAUUUUUCAUUGAUUGGCUAUUAAUUAGCGUAGGAAAUAAUACGUUGGUCAUAUAGUAAUUAUUCCACCAUUUUCGCUAGAUUACAGAAAUAGUUGAUAUCGUAUAAAUCUACGUCAACAGUGUUGAUAUUCACAUGAUUUUAAAAAUUAAAUCACAAGAUUACAGAAAAGGUACUGCAUGCAUUCUAGAAUUUUUAGUACGUAUGUAUGCGCGAGUACAUGUAUAAUAGGAAAUAUGGAUGAGCCUUUUUCUAUGCCAGCCAGCCUCUGAACUGUCGGACACGAUAUUUGGUGCGACGUAUCAUGUGAUUACUCCAUCACUUGCAAUGAAUAUUUAUGACUCACGAUUCAUAUGAGUCGUGACUCGUGACGCUCGACUCAUGAGUCAUGCGGCUCAUGCCUCGCACCACCUUUACCCCGACCGUUCCGUACGCUAUACGCGUAUUCAAGUACGUGACGUUGAUUUCUUCACAAGUCUCUCUAUAUAUAAUAUUAUCACGCAUAUAAUUAAACACCAUCGCACGUGUGCAUAUAUUAUACUAGUUAUUAUAUAUUUGUCUUUGUCCAAAUAUUGUCUUUGUUUUAUAAAUAAACGUUUGAGGGUUCAAAUAGUUGCAACCAAUGGGGAAACAUACAAUUUCCAGAUUAUAUGUUUUUUAACUAGUGUUAACUUAGAGAUGCAAUUAGCAAUGUCGGUUAAAUUUUUUUCAUACUUAGAUAAGGAUCACGCUAUGCACAGAACGUCCUUCUUCCCUUUGUUCUGCAUCACACAUAAUACAUUUUCGCGUUUGGAGUCAUAAAACAAAGUGUGAAUGGUGGUCUACGUUUAUCAACAUUAAUCACAAAACAAAUGUCGGUCAAUGUCUAACUAAUCAGAAUUAUGUGACCAAAAGUAUAUACAUUGUUUGAUGUAUGUACAUCUAUACAUGAUACUACAUUGAAUUAAACAAUGGUUCAUAACUAUACUUCUUCGCUAGAAACCUGUACAGAGCCAAUCUAGGGAUUAGCUAGAUUUGUCAGUCAGUUUCGUGUUGCCUUAUUUUCAAAAUAUUAUUUUAAAUAAAAAAGAAUGAAUAAAUAGUGGAGAAGUACGAUUGCUAUAUUUGUAAUAGAAGUAGCUAAGACGUAGUCAGUGUUUGAAAUAGUAGAGAAAGGUAUGGGACUCAGACCAACUUUAGAUUUCAACUGUUGUUCCUGACAUUACGACUACUCUUCUUUUCUAGUUUACUUUUUGUUCGUGUACUUCUUCAUCUCAUAAUAUUGGGACAAUGGAGUCAUUUUACUCCAUACUACUCUCAUAUGUAUAUAUCAGUCAAGAAGUAAAAUUUGUAUUUAAUUAGUUACAGUAUCAUAUACUAUUGAGCUUUUUGUAAACAUGCCCAUUAAUCUUUUGUAUGCUUAUUAGACACACGGCUCCAAAGAUGUAUCAUUUAUUAGAUUUCUCUUUACAAGAAGUGGAUGUAAAAAAAAUAGUAAAAUCGUAUAAAAGUGUUGGGAAAACGUUGCAUUGAAUGAAGAACCUCUAACUCUGUGGAAAAAAAAAAGCUUAAGAUAAAGAUAGAAAUGGCAAGAACGGUGAUUGAUAUAUGCACUGUAUGCAUACGUGUGUCUAUACAAAAAAUAGUAAUAUAUAUGCAUUUCAAGUAGCUUAUAUUGAGGAAGAUUUUGCAAUAAAGAUCGAAUAGUUACAAUGUUGUGACAUAAUUAUAAUCGGUCACUAUAUGUAAUAGACUGGGACCUGUCAUAUUCUCUCCUAACCAAAGAAAACUAUAGGAACUAUUGCAAUUAAAUUAAAACAAUAAUGUAUAAAGUUUUUGAGUCAUGACAUAACAUAUAUAAAAAGGCUUUACCUUACCAUAUCACUUUAUAUAAUUAUGUCCUCUUUGCCCACUCUCUCCGUUCUUUCUUAAUCUUUGAUAUUUCUUAUUCACUGAACACGAAUAGGUGACAUGAAACCUUGCAUCCAAAGCUAGAAACAAAUGAAUCUAGUUUGAUUUGUUGUAACCUUUUUCUUUCCUUUCUAAUUUUUGUCUAAAUUAAUGAUAAUUAUUACAUACUAUAGAUUAUAUAUCAACUAAAUGAAAAAAGCUAUACAUGAAAAUAAUAAUUUCAGCAAGAUAUUUUUUUGGUAGGAAGAAAAUACAUAUGUACAUUGUCUGAAAUAUUUUGUUAAAUAAAUAUUUGAAGACUAUGAAAACUAAAAUCUUACUGAAAACAUGUGAUUUCGAAAAUGGCAUUCAACUAAAUCAUUUUGAAGUUACCAAUUUUAUAAAUAAAAUUAUUAAGCAAGAGUUACGAUAAUCCCCCAAAAACACUAUAACUAAAAAAACAGUGUACAAUAAUAGUGUUUAGUGUUUACAAUAUUUUCUUAUAUAUGCAACUGUUGUUGACAAGAGAAAGAACAAAUUAUUGCGCCGUACAAACGUCUUUUUCUCCAUUCCAUUUGAUAAUUUUGUUUAGAAAAUAUAUAAUCAUAACAGUUGUAGCGAGCUAUCUCGUUAAGUGUUGUUGAUGAAAUUAAUGGAAUGUUUUCAUUACUCAAUAACUUUUGCAUAAAAAGUGAAAAACGAAUAUGGAGGAUACAAAAAAAAGUUUAUACUUUUCUCAGCAUUCAUCAAAACAUUGAUCCCAUCUCUUCUUCAGUAAACAAAUCUUCGUUUAAACAACUUUCACAUUUUUCCUAUAAAAAAAAGUCAUGAACACAAUAAUUUAGUCAAAAAUAAAUAAUUUCUCCCUGCAACAUUUUCAUUUUCAACUUAAAACUUAUGCAAUUAUAAGUCUAAACACCAAACAGAGAUCUUCGGCUUGUAGACCAAAACCAGUUGUCAACAAGUCUACAACUACUUGCACAGUUGCACUGUUUAUGAAAAAAAAAAGAGAAUUGAGAAAUACAAAAUAUCAGAAGUAAAUUAAAUACACACGAAAACAUAAACUCAAAAAGAAAAAAAGAAAAAAAAACCUCUUAGUCAUAUUCUCUUUCUAUCAAUCUCUCUCAAUAUCAAUCUCAAUCUGCCCAUAUUUCUUGCUGUCAACAAAUUCAUUCAGCAAUCUCCUCUUCUUCUCCCAUCAACAACAAACUAAAAAAUAAAGACCUUUCACAACAUCAAAAACAAAACGAAACCCUUCUUCUUCCCACAAGAACCUCUCUUCAACAAUGUCGUCUAGAAACCGGACGAGAUCAAGAAUCAACUUCUUCUUCACAAGAACUGUUCUUCUUCUCCUUCUCCUUCUUCUUCUAGGGUUCUGUAACGGAGCAAGAACAAAUACGAACGUCUUCAACUCGAAACCACGCAAGGAACACAAAGACGCUGUUCCGUCUUCAUCGAAACAGUUCUUGGGGUUCUUGCCACGUCACUUCCCAGUUCCAGCUUCUGGUCCCUCUAGAAAACACAAUGAUAUCGGUUUACUUAGUUGGCAUCGUUCUUCUCCUUGAACCAAAACCAAAAAAAAAAAACCCUUAAAAGGUCAUCACCUUUUCUUUUUCUUAAUUUCUUUCUAUUAAUUUGUUUUACUUUAUAGUAUUUCUUCUACUUUGGUUUUACUCUUCUACCUUUUGCUUAUGAAUUUCAAGCUGCUGUAAAUGCUUUUUUUUUUCCUUUAUCUAUUUUCUUUUUGUGAUGCUAAGAAAAUGGUUGUUUUUUUUUUGGUUUGAUUCAUAUCGAGAAGGCAAAACAUUUAUAAUCUAUUAUGGAUUUGUAACUCGAAGUUGUAUUUUUUUUGUUUUCGAUAUCUCGAAUAUGUGUAAUAUUGCACGUAUCAAAGUGUAAGAGCCUGCAGUCAUCUUCAUGAUAUACUUCGAUCUUGUUAUUAUGAUCAACUCGAGUGAAAGAAAAAAAAAAAUCUUCUUUAAGUUUACAAUUAGUUCGAAAUUGACUUAUGAAUUUAAACAAGGACUAAUUAUGUGGUGUUUGUUUAUAUUUUUUUUUUAAGAAUAGGUCAAAUCGUUAAACUUAAUGAGCUAAUUGAAAUAUAUGGCGUAUCCAAAAAGUCUGAUGUAGAUUGGUCUUGAGAUAUAUUAUCGACUUUUUUUUUUUUUUUCAUUUUCUUGGGAUCCAUCUAUUUGUUUUCAAUUAUAACCAAUAAUGUCUUUGAAAUGUCUAUUGAGAUUUGUCAAUGUGAUGGACCAAGUUUGCAUCUAAUUUUAUAGCCAGAUAAUUUAUUUUGACAUUAAACGUGACAUUUAUGCCGGGAAGGUGAUCAUCAUCAAUAGCUAUUUAUAUAGAUCAGAAAGGUAUCAUCAAUAAGAAAAAAAAAUCUAUUAAGUAAUUUUUAAAAGUUGUAUGAUAUUUUGAAUUGCAUGACAAAUAAGAAAUUUAUAUGCUGUUAAUAUAAUUUAGAUACGAAAUCAAAGGAAGUAAGGAACCCUAAUGAUUCUUGUUAGACCCAAAAAAACACUGUAGCAAUUAACCAUCGUUUUUAAGAAGUCUAAAUCAGAUCUAUGGAUAAUUGAUUAGAAACCCAAUCAAGUACUCUUCUAUUUUUGUAAGUUGUUUAAAAAUAGUCAGGGCUAUAAUUAACAGUACAGUCGUCAUCAUUACAUGUUUGUUAAGAGUAAUGAGUUCUGAAACCUCGAAAACUAUCUUCUUCUUUUUUCACGUUCCGUCGUUUAAAUUCAGGCAAUCAUGUCUUUUUCUAUAAAUUAGGUAACUCACGUACGACGACGAGUCCAGAGUCCAGACGGUCCCGUAACUAAAACAUUGUUAGUGUUUUGGUAAUAAUUUAAACAUUGUUUAUAUAUGUACAUCAGUCUUUAUAUAGGACAGUUGCAAACAAUUUUUUUUUUUUUUUUGUCACCGUUGCAAACAAAAUUAUUAUUAUUAUUAUUUAAAUUCAUCAACCAAAAAAUAAUGUCAGUCCAUUUUCAUAUUUUAUAAUUUCCACAUUCCACUUUUUUACCAAAAAAUGAAUAUAGCGAAAUUGGCUGACAACUUGCGUCAACCAUAAUAGUUGGAUAAAUAAUUGAAAUCUAUCGUAUAUGUUGUUCCAUGGUUCCUCGACCUUCUUCAUGAACGAAGCUUUGAUCCCAAACAACAAGUCUGAAAAUGCUUAAGAACUUGUUGCGACCAAAUACAGAGAAAGUAAUAGGAGAAAGACCUUAUUUGUCAAAAUAAAAAAUAUCCAACAUUGACCAAGAAACAGCACAAACAACUUCAGCAGAACCAUCAAACGUUAUAAGCCAACCCAAAAUCACGAUUCAAUAGGAGACUCAACUUUGUUCUCCUCAGCUGCAAAGAAGGGAAUGGGUUUUUUCGGAGCGGGAAGCCGUCCGAUGCUAUCAACCUUAUCUUGUUGCUUAGGAGGUGGUCGCGCUGCCUUAGGCAAUAACCUUCCUUUCUUCUCAAACCAUUCCGGUUUAAGCAAUGCCCUUAAGCCCAAUUUGUUGUAAUACACUCGUCUCACUGAUCCUCCUGCUGCUUCCACCACCUCUUUUGCCCUAACUGUCACUCUCGAAACCUGAAGUAAACAUGCUAUCACCGAUUAAUCGAAUUUCUAACUAUAACUUGGCACAAAUUUGAAAAUGCAGAGAGUAUACAGAGCAAAAGUUCAUAAUGCAAAUGGUAAACCUCGAAAUGAAGUGGCCAUUUAAUCUCAUCAGCACCACGACCCAUUAGUCUUACUCCGUCUUCUAUUUGCUUUCCUAUGGCUCCAACAUCCUGAAAGCCAGCGGAAAUGGGUUUACUAAAGAGCAGAAUCAUCAACUCCAUCUUAAACCGGUGAGUCAAGAGUGAGUAUGAUCGUACCUUGAGCGUUUUCAUUGUGAUCAAUUCAUGAGAAUCUAUCUCCCCAGCGUUUAUGAGUUUAGCGAUCUUUCCAAGACCAACGGGCUGCAUCAUACCACAAUUAUAUCACCUUUUAGUAAUUUGAACUCUGAAAUUCCAAUCCUGAUCAUCUACUUCACUACAAGCAGCUAAUACAGAGCAUUGAUGGCAUUCAGAAAGAAGAAAAAGUGUGACCCAUCUGAUUUAGAUUCUCAAACCCGACCUAAUCUAAUGAAUCAAUGACAGCUGUAAACCCUUUGAAUCAAUGGAAGCUACAAAAACAGAAACUUGACCUCUAAAACAAAUCCCAGAACUGAAAAGCACGAGCUUUUUCUUUACCUGGAAAUGGAGCUUGAAUUUGUUCUUGAAGCCACGUUUUGGUAAACGGCGUCGUAAUGGAGUCUGCCCACCUUCAAAACCAAACUUCAUGGUUCCUCUAGCUUUUUGCCCCUUGUGACCUCUUCCAGCAGUUUUACCUUUACCAGACCCAAUACCUCUACCUUUCCUCGUCUUGAGUUUUCUGGGCACAUUGUCUCUCAGAUCGUUCAAGCUCAGUAAACUGUACGCUCUAAUUCCCUGAAACGAGGAAGCUCUGCUCAUAAAGGUAGGAAUUUGAGCAAAGCUCGGAGAAGUACGGCAUUGAAGAAGUGGCGAAGAAGUGAUGAAUCUGGGUUUUGCGGUUUGGUGAAUCGAAGUCGAAGAAUUGAUGAGUGAUGUUGAUAUGAUCGAUGAGAUUCUUCUUCGUAUCAUUUCUUCGUUGCGGGAUCAAAUCAGAUUUUGGAAUUUGAGAUCUUUUUUCUGAAAUUUUACCAUUCCAUUUCGGGGGAUUUUAGGGUUUAUGAGAUUUCAGUGAAGAGCUUCUUCUUCUGGAUCAACAACAUUUAUCGUUGUUGUUUGCAGCCAUCGUUGCAUUCGUAUUUGGGCUUCUUCAGCCCUGUCAUUUAAAGCCCAUUUAUGAUCCAAGGUUCUAAGCACAAAUUCCGGUUAGGUGCCCACAUUACUCGAUUGAUUUUUCCGGUUUAGUGGAAGAACCAAAUGUAUUUCCCAAACAACGUCGUUUUGCGUGAGAAGAAGAGAGAGAUAAAUAAAUUUGUAACGGGAUUUAGGUCAUCGCCGCAUCGAUUUUUCUCCGGUAACUAUUCUCUCUCUCAUUUAGCCGUCGACGAAGUAACCCUUCUUUCUCAGUCGUCGCUUCCUCGUUAUGAAUUUGCGAUUUUGAUUGGUUUGAGUUCUCUGAUGUCUAAAAGCUUAAGCUUUUUUCUCUUCUAGGUUUUGCAGGUUUUGUGAAAUCGUGAGACCUGAUUUUGAGGAAGAGAUGGCAUUGGAUUACCAACCUAACGAAAGUUUCAUAGUCAAUAACUUCGAGCAGCUAGAAGAGACUGAAGUGUCCCAUUCUGACGAUGAGAUUUGGAUUUUCCAAUUCCCUAUAUCCCGAGUAUGUUUAGUUUUUAUUUUAUUUUAUGGAGUUAAAUUUGGUUGAGCUUGUUCAGUGAAGUUUAACGCAAUUGAUCUUAUUGCAAUGUUCUAUUCAACUAUAGGGAUCUGCUUCAUCGCAGUUUCCAGAAAUAGGUGGUGACGAUAUCAAGAUUGAUGAUUUUGACAAAGAUGGAUCAAUUGGAGGAUUUGUGGAUUCAUCUGGUAAGCUUAUCAUGGACUUGAUCUCCAAAGGUUGGCUCAUUAUCUACGUUAGUGGUUGAAUUAAUUUGCCAUUCUCUGGUUUUGAUAGGUACCAAGUUUGACCUUGUUAGCUAUGCUCCUCAAGAUACUGAAUCUACUGUGAUUUUACCUUCUGAAGAAUCCGUGAUUGGUAUAUUCCCCCACAUUGCUCUAGAAGUAACUCAUGUGUCUGGUCUUAAUCGUUCAGUUUACUCAGCCUUGCCUGCUUCUUUAAUGAUUCUUAAUGUUAUUCUCCGUUUCAUGGUAGGUGGGAGUAUUUCUCGGCGAGUUGCGUUAGUUCGUUACCCUGAACCAACCGAGCUGCUUCAGACUAUAAAGGCCAGAAGCCAGCAGAAGCUUGUUGGAGCAGUGACGAGUUCCUCUGGGAAAUACUCUAACCCAAGUCAAAGUAGCCGCCAUAAAAGUGGACAGUCGGUUCGACACUCAGCUUCCUCACGUAGCAGCAAACAGAAGAGCCUGUUCUCCAGCUUCACGGAUGCUCCAAAGUCACCAAAAAGAAAACAUUCAGAGUCUGCCUCAGGUAAACAUGGGAACUCAACAAGUACGGUUUCAGGCUCUUCAGAACGAUCGGGAAAGUCCAAGAAGAAGAAGAAGGUGAAGAUGGAAGAGUAGUAAUUGUUCUUUAAAACAAGUGUUCUUGAUGGUUAAGAUGUUGAAUUUCGAAUAUGCAAACGAUAAACAUCCAGUAUUGUGUUCAAAUUUAUAAGUAAUCUCGCCUUACAUGAUUAUUUAAGUACAAGCUUAUUAUUAACUUACCUUGGAACUGGUCAAAGUUAAAUACAGGCUUUUUAUCUUAAGCAAGGUGCAAGAUUAAUACAACAGCUAAGGUCUGUUGCUGUCUUUUUGACUUCAAGCCUCUGUGGUUGGAGUUGUUUCGGAGUGUUGUGAUUCUGGCUUCCAUUGUUGUGGAGUUUGAACCUUCUUUAUAGAGAGGGCAUGGAUUUCUUUCAUCUCUUCUUCAAGAGCAGCGUUUACAAUGCGGUGCCUCUCAAGCAAUCUCUUCGCUUCAAACUGUUCCGAGACAAUCUCAACCACAAAACUCGCACCGCAGCUGGAACAAAGAGUAAAGCUUUAAGAUUGAGAACUGGAAAUUACAGAUGUCAAAAGUCAUAGAUUGAAGAAAUGGAAGGUGGUGACGGUUUAGUGAUCAGAAGACUUUACCCUCCAGAUGUGUCGAUGACUUCCUAGUUUUACAUAUAAAUCAAGCCAAAUGACUAAAUUAGUGAUGUAUACAGAGAAAGAUCACAAAGUAAACUUGUUGCUUCAAUAAUCUCAUAUUAUAAUUCACACAAACCACAUAAAUGAGUGUAUGAGUCAAUCUAAGAACAAAACAUGCGUAAGAUCCAAUUUAGUAAUUCUAUUUUUCAUCAAGAGACCAGCUCAAAAAAUUUCAAACUGUCAUUAUCUGCAAAUCCAUCUUUCUCCAAUAUAUCAAAGAACAGAGGAUGCAUGUGUGAUAAAUCAAAGUUCUAAAUUUCGUCUUACUUUUUGGACAGCUUCAGUAGCCAUAAACAGAAUAAAAGUUGCAGCAGGUAAGGGAAUCAAUAGACUUACCAGAUGAACAGGAUUGAGUUUUGAAGUCAAUGUAGCUAUGACUUGCUCCUUGGAUACACCCAUCUGCUUAAAGUUUGUGCAGCGGUGAUUUGCUAAAACUUAGUGUGUCCUUAAUGACUCUAAAUGGGUGAACCAAGUGAAUACGGGACCCGACCCGAAUAUAUUCUCUUCUUCUCAACUUUAUGACAUUCGAUACUAUCCAUAAACACACCAUAAACCCAAAAAGGGUAAGAAAAUGUAACCCAAACCUAACCUGAUCUUUAAUGGGCUGUAUUUUUCGGUCCAUCAUCCGAAUUUGCGAUCAUGGAUUUAGCAUCGGCAUUCGCAUUCAGUCUUGGCACCAACCAAAUAAGAAAUUGACAAUACGUACAGAAAACUUAACCAAGAAAUACAAAACAAGGCUUUUGAAGUUGUCCUAUGCCCCACUGUAUAAAUUUGACCGUUAUGUGGAGGAUUUGUUUUAUUGUCAUUAUAUGGACAACAUGGGUACUGUAAAUAAAAAGCAUAUACUUAUUUCUUUUUUUUCUGUAAUAUCCACCCCCUGCUCGAUUCAGUAGGAAAAACAAUAAUAUACAAUGCAUCAAAAUAAAGAUUCGAAUACAAAUCUUUUCUAUGAUUAGAGAGCGUUUUUAUAUAUUUCUAAUUUGCGUAGUAGCUAGUACAAACACAAAUCAGAUUAACGUCCUUUUUGAGUACAAUAUAAAUUUAGGUUUACCACACACACAAAAAAAAAAACCAUAAGUAUGAAUUAUAUAUUAUAAUAAAAAAUCUUGGUCUCUCUAUAAUAAUUCUUUUCAUGGCCGCAGAGAAUUUGUAGGACAAUAAACUCUUCUUUGACCAUCCCUUUAACACCUCCUCUCUCUCUCUCAAAUCUCUCGGAAGAUAAAAGGCUAAAUUAAGAGAGAGAGAUAAAUAUUUUGGUUUCUCAUUAUCUGUGAGUUUUUAACGAGAGAUGGGAAACUGUGCCAUCAAGCCAAAGGUUCUCAAAGAUUCUGAGGAGGAUCUUGUUCCGGUGGAGCGAGAUUCGGUGGCUCCUGUUGAUCAUCAUGACAAAGAUCCGGCGCCUGAGAAGAGCGAGAACAAUGCUCCUAACCCCGCAGAGGAGGAGGAAGCUGCGGCUGCUGCACGACGGAGCGAGAAGGGAAAAGAGAUUUUGAUUGAAGAUGACGUUGACGAAAACCACAAACGCCCAUCUCUCAGUCACUUGUUUCAUGAGGUAAUGUUCAUAUAUAUAAUUGUUUGCAAUACUAUUCAACAAAAUAUGGAUAUUAUUAGAUUCAAAUGUUUAUGUGUGAUGAUUAGUCAUAUAAUUAGCAAAUAAUAAUUGAGAUUCAAAUCAAAAGUUAUAUUAUUUCAUUGUUAAGCUUUUUUGUACAUUCUUCUUGAUAUUAUGGCCGGCAAGUGAUGAGGAACCAGACCGUAUUUUCUUUAAGGAGUUUAUAUAAAAAGCUUCUCUUGCCUUCUAAGUUUUAACUUAAGGACCACUUUUUUUUGAAAAUUAAAAUAUUUUCAAUAGUUAGUGCAUAUGUUUUUACAUUUUAUAUUUGUGGAAGUGGAAACUAAAGUGACAAUAAUUUGUUUGACCCAAAAGAAAAGAGUUACAAUAAUUUUAUAUACCAGCAUUUCCAAACCGGACCGGUUUAUUUUCUGGUUUUCUCACUUUUCAUAUCAAUUUGGAUGAGUUUUUGUUUUUACAGGACAAGACAGUAGUAUUGGAAAAAGAAGUAAUUGAUCUAUCGCCGAUAAAAUCAGAGGCCAAUGAAAACAAAACCGGUCCUUCAGAGGUUCCAAAGCUUGAUACUUCUGCUCUAACAGCUUCUACUGUCAAAGCUCCGGAAGAAACCUUUGACGUCCAGACUCGAAAUGACCUCGAAGUUAAGAUUCCAAAAGAUUCUGAGGUUAAGUCUCCUGAAACUCCUAAAGCUAAGGAAGCUGAAGAGAAUUUUUCAGAGAAUUGGGAAGUUAAGUUCCCAGAGGAGUUGGAAGCUAAGAAAACAUCUGAAGUUGUUAAGGUUGAAGAAGAGUCUAAACUUCCACAGGUUUCUGCUCCUCAAUUGUCUGAAGUUGAAUCAAAUGUUCCUGAGGUUUUGGAGGAUAAGAAUAUUCCAGAGGUUUCUGCUCCUGUAUUGUCUGAAGUUAAGGAUGCAAAAGAAUCAAACGUUCCUGAGGUUUUGGAGGACAAGAAUAUUUCAGAAGUUUCUGCUCCUGCACUGUCUGAAAUUAAGGUUACAAAAGAGUCAGAUGUUCCUGAGGUCUUAGAGGAUAAGGACAUUCAAGAAGUUAAGACUGAUGAAGUUAAAGUAGCAGAAUCAGAACUUUUAAAGGUUUCAGAAGUUAAAUCUACGGAGGAUUUAGAUAUCAAAGUUCCAGAGGUUUUUGAAGUCAAGACUCCUGAGACAUCGAAGGUUGAGGUCAUAGAUGAAUCUGCAGUUAAAACUGAUCAAGAAGCAUUGAACGCUAAGAAUGCAGAUGAAACAAAAGCUCCAGAGUUUAAAGAUGCUCAAGAAAAGCUCGAAAAUCCUGAGGGAGACAAAGAAAUGGUGUUGCCUAAAACAGAGGAAGAAGCAAAAGCUGCGUCUUUGGAGAAGCAAGUCAACGAGUCUACUACAUUGCCUGAUUUAGGAACCACCAAAUGACUUACGAGAGACUACAGAGAAAUUACCAACCAGGAGUAGCUAAAAUUAUAUAUUUUUUUAAAAAACCAUUUCAUGGUUUAUAAAACAAAAACAAAUCACUAAAAAAAACGAUUUAGCAUAUUCUUUAGGCAAUUUCAGUUUAUGUCCCUUGUUUGAUAUCUCUUAUUGUUGUUGUUUAUUUUUUUAUUUUUCACAAAAAUAUGGGGAUAAUUAGUCUUUUUGCAUGUCCCCAAGUUGUACACUUUGCAAAAGAUCGAAAAGAUCAUUUCUUGAAACAAAUAAAGAAAUUUUCGUUUAACAAUUUAACUUACAUAUGUUUAGUAAAUUUUAACAUAUUCAGCCGGUUGAUGAUCAUCAUUAAUAAUCACACGAAAAUCAAAAUAAGAAUAAAGUUUGUGACCAGUAUUUUACAUAUAUAUAGCUCUCUCUUUUUUUUUUCAUAACACACAACCUAUGAAAAGUUAGAAACCACCCUAAGUUAAGUGAUAAAGUAAAAGUAGUUAAAGCAAAGAUUUCUUAAGAGAUUCUAGACUCUACUAUAUGUGAAUGAUUAGUCACAUGUAUCAUAAAAAGCCUAAUUUUUAGCACAUCUUAUAUAUAUAUAGAUAAAAGCUAAUACAAUAUCUCUCAACUAAUGACAACCUUCACUUCAUUGCACACGACAUCGUUUUCUUUCUGUAGAUCAAUCUUAUCUCCAACACCACUGUUUUUCCUCUCUCUGCUUUUCCCCCACAACACACAGUAGAGUCCUAUGAUCAACAAUAAUCCACCUACGAUACUACAAAACAUAUUACACAUGCGUCAGUUAAUUUUCUUGAAUAGAUAAGAAAAAUGAAGAUAUAUUCAAGAAGAUUUUUGUAGAACCUUCCAAGACUGAUGAUCUCGCAUAAAAGAAUCGCUGAGGAGAGGAGAGUGAAGACGAGAGACAAAGGAGUGAACAUCGAUAGGAAGACAGGUCCUCUCUUUUCUAUUACCCAUGAUUGCAAAUAAUAUGCCACGCCUGUUACAAUGAACCCCUGCGUAUAAUAUAAUGUCACGUUUAGAUUUAUUAAUAUAAAUAUUCUUUGAAUUUAUGACAUACUGUAUUAGUUUAUUAUGAAAUGAAAUAGAGUGAGAUAAUUACGCAGUAAAUGACUGCAACGAGUCUUAGGUUCCAACCAAGCUUCCAUGCGGAAAUAUCUCUCUCGAAAGCAAUUGCGAUGACAAAGGAUUGAAUCGAACUCAAGAGACAAUGAAGUGUUGUGAAGUAUAGCUUCGAAGGGUAGAGCUUUAACACACGGCCCUGUUUUAAAAACGAGACCAAACUAAUAUCAAAGAUAGCAGAGAAUUUUGUCACAGUUACUCUUGAAUGUUAGGGUUUAAACUUUGGCUAAUACGCAACUCUUCAGCCUAUACAGUAGUUUCAAUGGGAUAAAUGUUUAAAUCAAUUUGAAAAUAUAGAUAUAUAUAGAUACCUGUAAAACGAGCCAGAGACCCCAUAAAAUGUUGGAGGCGAUCAUGAGGAAACAGCCUUUGAGCCACGAAGUGGAACCGUCGGAAACAUCAUUCCGGUGAAGAUGUUCUUGGCCGUGAUAGAGAUGAUGGCAUAAAGGUAAUUUCAGUAGUGGACCUUUGUAAAGUGCCAAGGUAAUUACCCCUCCCAUGCACACAGUGAUCCCUACAAGCUUUGCUGUUCCUUGUAUGCUCAUAACCUUAAGCCUCUCCAUUCUUUAAUUUAUUAUUAAAAAAAUAUAAGUAUGUAUAUCUUAGAAAGAGUAAUUAAUUAGGUAUUAAUUAAUUAAAAAGGUGUCAACUUAGCAUGUAUUUGUAAUUAGGUAUACCCAAAUAAGAGAGCCAAGAAGAAAGUGAUGGCCGGAAGAGAAGCUGUUGUGGCUGCGGCUAAAGUCGCCGACGUGUAUGAUAAUGCGAUACCGUUUAAGUCCAAGCUCAUUGUCACACUGAAACCCCCAACAUACAUAAAGUUUAACAUAAUUCAACAUAUAUAACGUUAGUACAUAUAUAUAGUAUUGUAGUGUUCGUUGUAUUUUUCCCUUUGCGCAUUUUUUUUUGUUUAUUUCUUAAGUUUAUGAACUUUCUACAAAUAAUUUUAAUUAUUUUCCUUUAAAAACACACAACAGUGUAAACGCAUAAAGAAAAAAAAAAUUCCAAUUCGCUUUUGUUCUGUAUAAACUUUACAUGUUAAAUUACAUUUUAUCAAGAAAUACAAGAAAACGUAAAUAUUUGUGCAAUUCAUACUAUUAUGGAUUUUUAUGUUUUGCUUUGUAUAUUUUGCAAUAUAAAAUGAUGCUAGAUUGAAGAACAAGCAAAAUUGGAGUUUUGUUACUUUAAAUGGACAUAAACAUAUACACGCAAACAAAAAUCUCGAAGCAAAUGAAAUAAAAUGUACUUUUUUCUUGUUUAAGG
Molecule: long non-coding RNA, 52022 nt
Filed under: Capsella rubella
Lineage: Eukaryota; Viridiplantae; Streptophyta; Magnoliopsida; Brassicales; Brassicaceae
Description: long non-coding RNA (CRUB_LNC001158)
Source: RNAcentral